RNAcentral lists this long non-coding RNA (59906 nucleotides) under Gossypium raimondii (Peruvian cotton). Its description in RNAcentral is "long non-coding RNA (GRAI_LNC010253)". Lineage: Eukaryota; Viridiplantae; Streptophyta; Magnoliopsida; Malvales; Malvaceae. The record is from RNAcentral.
CCUACUCAUUUAGAGGUCGACAUGCGAAUCAUAGCACUUCACCAUGACCCUGACUUAUGGGGAGAUGAUGUUAAUCUUUUCAAACCAGAGAGGUUUGCUGAAGGGAUAGCAAAAGCUACUAAGUACAAUGCAGCUGCAUUUAUGCCUUUUGGAUUGGGAUCUCGAUCUUGCGUUGGCAUGAGCUUUGCAAUCACUGAAGCGAAAACUGCACUUUCCAUGAUUCUGCAACGCUACACUGUCACCGUCUCCCCUACCUACGUUCACGCUCCUGUACCAAGUCUUACACUCAAGCCACAACAUGGGAUGCAGUUGUUGUUUCAUUCACUACAUUAUGAUGCUUAAAAUUCUAGGCUGUUGGUCUCCAAUAUAGUAAUAUAUAAUAAAAUGUGGAUGAUACUGUAUUUUGCAACCAUACGAUGAUAUAUGGUUUGGGGAUUUCAUGUUUUGGCAACAGGAUUAUAUGCUUUUUUUUUUUUUUGUUGAUAUUGUUAAAGGUUAAAAGGGUAUUACAGCAAACAUCGCCACCGCAGGAGCAGGCCCUACAGUCCUGUGAAUAACAUAAUUAGGUGUCUUUCUUCCAUUACUACUGCAGUAGUGAGGUUUUUAUUCCACUUAGUUCCAUUCUUCCGGAGUGUCUGCUUGAAACACACACUCCUGGAGCCGGCCAUUACAUUGCUUGUUUAGCUUUCAUGGAAGGCUCGAAGCUCAUUAGACCAGAAACAUUGUUCCUUUGCCUAUGUAUCUUUUUGACAUAUUCUCUUAAGGAAGAGCUACUUAUAUCAAGGCUCCAUCUUUCUGAGUUGCAAGGCAAAAGUCCGUUCUCCAUGAAAAACCUACCCAUUUCCACUAAGUCCCCGUUCUCCUUUGCUUCUCAGAUGACUUUUGCAAUAAAAAGUCCUUUUCCCUUAAAAGCAAUGGAGAAUAGACACCAUUUUAGAAUAAUUUUUAGCUUAAAAAAAGUAUUUUUUGGUAGAUGGAGAAGUUGAAAAUUUUAACUUUUCUUCAGCCAAAAGUGAUUUUGGGUGAUAAUUUCCUUUUUUAACCUAUCUUCUCCCAAAAAAGUUUUUUUCUCUGGUUCUUUGGAGCUAAACCUAUACCCAUUUUUUUCACAUUUUCUCUUUCAAAGUUCUUUCUUCUGGUUCUUUAUUCCUCUUCUGCCGGUGAGUUUCUUUUCUUCUUCUUCUUCUCUUUAAUUAUUCAUUAUACUUUAGUUUUUAGUUGUUUUCUGAUUGUUUGAUUUUUAUAGAAAUUUUACAGAAAUUAAUUGACUGAUUUUACAGAAAUUCUAUCUCCUUAAAAUCAUUUUAGAAAGUUUCAGAAGAUUACAGGAAACAAAGAAGCAAAAGAAACACAAAGCAAAAUAUUAUUAUUAGUAAUGCAUGCGAUUAGAAUCAUGAAAAGUAACUCUUCCAAAAGAAAAAAAAAGAGGGAAAAUUCUGGCUUAGUUGUAUGGUCAAAGCAAAAAAAAAAAAAAAAAUCCCCCAAAACUUCAAAGGAGUGUCAAACAUGAACUCUGAGAUGUGUAGGCCCUACCAUUUAAAAGUUCAAACAGGAAUCUUUGUUGACUUGGUUGGGACUUAAACAAACUAAAAGAUUCAAGUUAUGUUGCUUACAUUGAUUCUUUGAGUCAUUGUAAGCAUGGAGAUAAUCACUGAUCAAAUAAGGAGGCAUAAAUAGCACUUACGGUGUCAUUGUUGCCUCUUUUGCUUUACUGCUUUGCUCUGUUUUGUGCCUCUGCUGCUUUGCUCUGCUUUGCUUUACUGAUUGUUAGAUACCCAGGAGUGUUUAGAGUUAAACCUACAGGCCCAAACUAUUUUAGUUGAUGAAAAUAAAAGAAAUAUAGACUAAAUAUUUGAAUAUUUAAUAGAUUAAAUACUGAUUGUUUUACUGAUUAAAUACUAUUUUAGAGUUUACUGAUUACUUUACUGAUUGCUAGAUCCCCAAGAGUGCAUAUCAAUUUGGUUGCCGAUACAUAUUACGCUCUAUUCACUUCUAUAUGAUAGAUUGAAUAUUUAAAGGAGAGAAUAAUACUAAACUUAACUAUAGACUUUAAGUGCAUAUUGAGAGGAGACUGCUAUAAACAUGCAUUAGAGGUUGAUUAGAAAAAUAGAGCAAUUUUGAGUAAUGGAGAUCUAAGUCACAUAGAGAAUUCAAUUAAUAAUAGAUGAAGAGAGUUAUGGACCUGCUAAACUGUUAGGAUUGUCUUCAGAUCACUGAACCACCAAGCAAUUCUUAUUGAUCUUAUACCUGAAAAGACAUUAAUGAGUUCCAACCUGUCUCUACAGGCACAAGUAUGAACAAAUACAAAAAAAAAAAGGAAAAAAAAAAGGAAUUUUAAUUUAUACCAAUGCAUGCUGGGAAAUAUAUGCCUUCAUUCAAUAUAAGAGCUAAUAUACACAACCACUGCCUACAACUAUAUGCAUGGUCAAGCAAAUACUUUAUCAGUAUACAUACAUAGGCCCUAACAAUUUGAAGGCCAUACAUGCUAUAACCCACAUGCAGAGUGUUGUUCAUCACAAAAAGGAAUGCAAAUAGUAAAGUUUAAUACCAAUUUUUAACCCUUUGAAAUGUCGGUAACAUAUCAACAAAAGUGAACCUUCAACAAAAAAGAUGCCACUAACCUCUCCACAAAAUAGGAUGCAAUAGAACCAGUAACAGCAUGUGCAGGAGCUAGCUUUCCAAGCUUUUCCUCCAAACCUGGAGUUGUAGCCUGUAAUAGAAUUAAAGUUCAACAAUACCAUUAUUCAUUGAUUAACAUCGAAAAUAACAACCUUAACAUAAGAAAAAUCAAUGAAAAAAUUCAAAGAUUGAUAAAUAAACUACAAACCUCCACUGCAGCUUUAGACCAAGCCCUUUGCUUUAUAUCCAUCAAGUUCAUCCCUACACCAUCAGUUGUAUCAAUACAAGCAUAAGCCCCUAAGAAUAGACAUGCCAUGAAAGAGCUAACAAGAGAGAUCCUCUCAGUGUCCUCAUAAGUUUCUUGUUGUGUCUCAAAUAUCUUCCGAAUUUGUGGUCCUGUAUAUCUCUCAUAAGCAUGAGAACCAGUAAUUUUAGACAACUCCAAUGCACCACUGACAGCUUUCUUUAUUUCUAUACACUGAGCAGUUGUGCUGCAGUCCAUCCAUAUCGGUGAUUCCUUCGGUUGCUUAUAGGCUUUAUAGGCUUACAAGAGUUAGUGUCUUAUAUGCUUAUUGUUGUCUUAACAUACCAAGGAGUUACUCUUCCUACAUUAAAAUGCCUGUAAAUCACAAGGAAAUGUUGUUGAUUGAUAAGUCAUUCAUUAUGCCUCUCGUUUGUUGUUACACUGCUAAUUUUUUAUGCUUUUGUUUUCUGUAAUGUGUAAGCUAUUAAAACUACAAUAAUAACGAACGCAAAAUGAUUGAAUGAAAUACUGUAAAUCACAGUAUGCUUUUUUUUUAUGCUUUAUCCUUAAGUUGUUUCCAUGCACUGCCCUGCUUUGUUUCCUUUCUACCAAUUGAUUUCAUGACAUAAAUGUACUAUAAAAAUUAGUAUAUAUGAGUGAACUCAUUUGAUUUAUUUAUUUGACGUUUCCAAUUUUCCAUAAAUAUCAGUAGUUGCAUUUGUCUCCAAGUACACUUUAGGUUUUUUCAAUUAUAAAUUCUUUAUUCUAUGGAUGAGAAUGGAUUUUUGAGUGAAUUUAUUGAUAAAAUCAGUAGUUAGUACAAUAUCUUUUGUAAAUGAUUGAUUUGGUUUAAUUUAUUUCCCCUUGACCUUUUUGUGAUUCAAGUGAUAGCUUUGCUCCUGCAGUUCUGUCUUUGGUUCUAAGGUUUCAUUUGUGAAUGUUAUUUGAAUCAAUUUAAUAUAGUAGUAUGGUAUUUUUGUGUUCUGUUGCAGGUUCUUUUCACCUACAAUAAACUACUUGACUUCAAAAGGGCACAAUCUUUACCUACCCUUGGUUCUUGGACUUGACAAAGUAAAUCCCAGGUUUGUGAGCUUAUUACGUUUCUUUCAUUGCUUCUGCCUUGGAUUCUGAAUAGUUGGAUAUAGUUAAUAUUUUGAUACACAUGUAAACAAAUAUACUUAUGUGACAUUUGAUUUUCUUGACUGCUUAACUGGCUGAAACGGAUCUAUUCGUAUACACAAUAGAUGAGUACUUCGGCAGUUGAAGUUAGUGGUGAAAAAGUAAAAGCAAUGUGGGAUAAGAGAUUGACAGAAAUAUUUUGUGAUAUUUGUAUUAAAGAGAUACUAAAAGACAAUAGGCCUGGUACUCAUUUCACAAAAGAUGGAUGGUUGAAAAUAAUGACCAACUUUGAGAAAGAAACGGGCAAGUGUUUUUCACAAAGACAACUUAAAAAUAGGUGAGAUGCCCUAAAAAAAGAAUGGAAAGCUUGGAAGAAACUUAAAGGCGACGAUAAUGGUCUAGGGUGGAAUCCUAUAAAAAGAACCGUUGAUGCAUAAGAUGAUUGGUGGGAGAGUAGGAUACAAGUACAUUGAUAAUUCUAAAUAUUUUUUGUUUUUUUUUCUUAUUUAUGAGGUUAUUGAUAAUUACUGUUAUUAAACUAUCAUUUUAUAUGUAGGUUGUGCCUGAAGCUCAAAAAUUUAGAACAUCGGGCAUUGAUCCUGAAUUCAAAGGGAAGUUGGACCAAAUGUUAAUGGGGAUAGUUGCAACAUGUGGUAAAGCAUGGGCACCAGGUGAUAAAGUAUGGGCACCUUCUUCUGGUACACUCCGUAGUGAUUUUUUUGAGGAUGUUAACAACGAAAUACCUAAAGAGAAUGAAGAAGAAAAUAUCAGAAAUGAUGUUCACAUUUUAAAUGAUGUUCACAUUUCAAAUGAUGUUCAAUUUGAUGGAAACGAUCAAAAAAGAAAAAAUCCUGAGAUAUCAAUGUUGACACCAUUUUUUUGAUAAAACGGGAUCGACUUAGGUUUUAGAAACGAAAACGAAAACGGAAGUCUCCACCAAUCCUUUUUGAUGAGGUGUGAUCGGGUCACCUCGUAAAGUGGUUGUUUUUAAUAAACAAUUUGAUUUUUAUGAAAAACAACGAUUUUGGUCCACGAAAUUCAGAAAAAUGGGUUUGGGAGUCGAUUACGUACGAGGAAGGAUUAGCACCCUCGUAACGCCCAAAAUUGGUACCUAGUUGAUUAAUUAAUGUCUUAGUGUCGAAGAUUGAAAAUUUUAAAGAAAUUUAAAAUACGAUCUUUUAUUGAAAUGUUGAAAAUUUUCGGGAAAGGCAUAUUUCACGUUAAUCGAGAAAGAGAAUUAUAUCCAAUAAGUUAGGACAUAAUGUCUUGAAUUUCUGAUACGCGAAUGAAUACCAAAAAUCUGCUUAUUUAAAAGAUAUUUAGCUAUCUCGGUUUCAAAAAAGAGAUCAUGCCCAGUAAGUUAAGACAAGAUCUUUUCUUAAUUCCCGAGAUCAUUUAAAACUUUGUUUGAAAUGAUUCGCGUAUUUAGAUUUAUCGAGAAAAUUGAAACCCCGUAAGUUAGGGUAUAAUUUUUCGAAUAUCAAAAUACGAAAAAUAAUUUUUGAUAUAUCGAGUAAAGUAAAACACGAUGUCGUAAAAAAUGCGAAAACAAAUUAUAUAGGAUACGCAUACGAAACAAUAAUGAAUAUGAAAGUGUAACAUAAUACGAAUGAUAGUGACAAAAACAUGAUAAAAAGGACGAAUCAAUAGCAUGCCAAAUAACUAGUGUAUAAGCAAAAUAAAAGUGAAAUAUUUUUAAAAUAAUAAUGAAAGCGUGAAUAAAUAGAUAAUAAUUGAAUUAUAAUUAUAAAAAAAAAGCAAUAGGAUAUAUGUAUAUGUAUAUGUAUAUGUAUAUGUAUAUGUAUAUGUAUAUGUAUAUAAAGUAUAAGAUAUAAUAAGGAAUAUGCAAGCAUGUAUAUAUAUAUAUGAAAAUUAAAAAUAUGUAUAUAAAGAUAUAUAGAUAAAUAAGAUAUAAAGUAUAUAGAUGUGAAAAUGAAAAAAUACGUAUAUAAAGAUAUAUAUAUAUAUAUAUAUAUAUAGUAUAGAAUAUAAUAAGUAUAUANNNNNNNNNNNNNNNNNNNNNNNNNNNNNNNNNNNNNNNNNNNNNNNNNNNNNNNNNNNNNNNNNNNNNNNNNNNNNNNNNNNNNNNNNNNNNNNNNNNNCAAAAGUAAAGAAUAUUCAAUUGAAAACACAGUGAAAAGCGGAAGGAAUAGGGUAGCAAUUAUACCCUAGUCACAAAACACGCGGAUCCUUCAGGUAAUGGGUCGGGUCACGCGUGGGUCGCGCGAAACGGCGCCGUUUUGGCGCUGAGGCCCCCAUGUGAAACAACGACGUUUUUCAUUUGGUAUAAAUGUUUAAAAAAACCCUAAAAAAUUAGAUUCAUCCCCUUUUUUUAAAAAAAAAAAUCAGAGAGCCAAAGCUCUCUCUCAAACCCCAAAUCUGUCCACAGUUGCCGGCUGUCCGUCCAUCGGACUGGCGCCGUGGCCGGUGGCCGACGACGGACCAAAUGUGCUUUUGAGCCCCGUUUUCGACGAUUUGAAGGCCAAUCCUUCUCAACCAAGAAGAAAACCGAAAGAAAAGACCCUCACCCCCUUUUAAGGCCGAUUUUGACGACGGAGAGAGGAUCCCCGACAACGUGGCCGCGGGACAUCUCAGGUGAGCCUUUAUUUUUCCUUUUUAUCUUUGUAGGUAGAAAUAAAAAUAAAUAAACAAAAAAAAAGUCAAGAACAAAAUAAAUAGAAAUAACAACCGAAAAUCACCUUUGAAGUUUUGUUUUUUUUAUUUAUUUUCUAAUAUGUCUGUAGUAAAAAAAAUACAUUGACUUGGUGAUGGCUUUUUCUAGCCGAAAUUGAUACAACAUUUUUUCUUUGUUUGUUGCUUGCGUUUUUGUUCUUUUCUUGCAGGUGAUUGACGGGCGCAAGUGGCAGAGGCGAUGAAGUGACCGUGGCGGUGGCGGCAGGUCAAGUGUGAGAAGACCCUAGGUGCGGCGCACCUAGGGUUAGGGUUUCCAGACCCUUUUUCUUGCUUUGGGCCGUGGGAAAUUGUGUUGGGUUGUAUUUGGGUCCGUUUGGGUUAGGGGUAGAUUUGGGCUUACUUUUGGUUUGGGUUAUUUUGUGUUUUAUUUGUUUGUAAUGGCCCCGGGUGAAAUUGGGCUUCUACAGCUGCCCCUCUUUGCUCGUUGUCGUGUAACAAGAACAGAGCAAAGACUAAGAAAGACCAAUUUCGCCCGGUCUCGUUAAUGCUCUAGUGCUUCUCUUCUUCAAGUAGCCUCCUUCUAAUCCACUGUGUCUUGUUGCUUUGAUCUACUCCACUGCACUUCAGAGAGAUACGACUUGCAGCUUCAAUCCACUCUGCUGCAACUUCAGGGGGACGAGAUUCGUGGUUUUAGUCUGCCCUACUGCAACGUCAGGGAGAUAAGACUUGAUGUUUCAACCUGCUCCACUGUGACUCUAGGGAGAUAAGGUCUUAAUAUGAUAAGAUCCAUUAUCAACAGUCUGCUCCACUACGACUUUAGGGAGAUAAGACUUGUAGUCGGUCUUCAAUUUGCUCCACUACUUCUUCAUGGAAAUAAGACUUAUAUCUUCAACCUGCUCCACCGCAACUUCGGGGAGAUAAGGUUUGCUAUCUUCAGUCUGCUCCACUGUAACUUCAAGGAGAUAAGACUCGUAAUGUCAACCUGCCCAACUGCAACUUCAGGGAGAUGAAGUUUGAUAUGAUCUACUCUACUAUAACUUCAGAGAGAUACGAUCAGUAAUUUAUAACUUCAAUCUGUUCCACUGCAACUUUAGGGAGAUAAGAUUCGUAAUUUCAACCUGCCUCACUGCAACUUCAGGGAGAUGAUGUUUGAUAUGAUCUGCUGUACUAUAAUUUUAGAGAGAUAAGAUAUGUAGUUUAUAGCUUCAAUCUGUUCCACUGCAACUUCAGGGAAAUAAGACUCGCUAUCUUUAGUCUGUUCCACUGCAACUUCAGGAAGAUAAGACUCGUAAUUUCUAAUAAAGUCCGAUGUGAUCCGUUCUACUGCAACUUCAGAGAGAUAAGAUUCAUCAUUUUGACCCGCUCCACUGCAACUUCAGGGAGAUAGGACUUAUAUCUUCUACUUGCCCUACUGGAACUUUAGGGGGAUAAUGUUAGUAACUUCAACCUGCUCUACUGCAAUUUUAGAGAGAUAAGGUUUGUUAUUUCAAUCUACUCUACUGCAACUUCAGAGAGACAGGGUUUGUAAUUUAUAGCUUCCAUCUAUUUCACUACAACUUCAAUGGAAUAAGACUUGCUAUCUUCAGUCUACUCUACUGCAUCCUCAGCAAGAUAGAACUUGUGGCUCCAAUAAAGUCUGAUGCGAUCUGUUCUACUACAACUUCAGAGAGAUAAGAUCCAUCAUUUUAACCUGCUCCACUGCAACUUCAGGGAGAUAAGGUUUGUUAUCUUCAACCUACUCCGCUACUACUCAGGGAGAUAAGACUAGUGAUUUCGAUCUGCUUCACUGUCAGUACAGGAAGACAAGAUCUACAACCUUCGACCUACUUCACUGCUACUCAGGGAGAUAAGACUAGUGGCUUAAAUUUGCUUCCCUACUACCUUGGGAAGAUAAGAUUCGCCGUCUUCGAUCUGCUCCACUACUGCUUAGGGAGAUAGGAUCUGUAAUUUUCAACCUACUCUGCUACUGCUUAGGGAGAUAAGGCUAGUGCUUUCGAUCUGCUUCACUGCCAGUACAGAAAGACGAGAUCUGCUACUCUUAGUCUACUCCGCUGCAAACUCAGAGAGGUCAGGCUUGUGUCUUCGAUCUGCUUCACUGCCAGUACAGGAAGACGAGAUCUGCUGCUUUUAGUCUGCUCCGCUGCAAACUCAGGAAGGUUAGGCUUGUGUCUUCAAUCUGCUUCGCUGCCAGUACAGGAAGAUGAGAUCUACUGCUUUUAGUUUGUUCUGCUGCAAACUCAGGGAGGUCAGGCUUGUGUUUUCGAUCUGCUUCGCUGUCGGUACAGAAAGACGAGAUCUGCUGCUUUUAGUCCAUUCCUCUGUAAUUUCUGAGAGAUAGGACUUGAUAUGACGACUUCAAUUCAUCUCACUGCAACUUCAGGGGUAUGGGAAACUUCAUUAAUAUGUUCUUUGGGGAACAUGACCUGUAAAGUCCAUUUUAUAAACCUAUUUAUGCCUAAUGAUUAGGAUGUUAUGAUCAGAACGAAUCAGAUUCUCCUAACUAGGUGUGUGUGAAUUAUAUUUGCAUGAAUGCAGAAUGUUAUGAGAAUGAUCCCUUUUUUAAUGUUAGGGUUGUCAUUGCUCGUUAUUCAUUAAGGCUCCAUUACCAACACGUCAGAAUGCCAUCUUGUUUGGCUGGUAGCACUCAUCUCUUACUUAAACGGAUUGCCCCCACUAUAAUCUUCAAAGUUCAAUCUGUUGUAAUCUUCAAGGCUAAGUCCACGGUAAUUUUUGGACAUAAAAUUUGAGCCAUCUUCCUUCCACUGAGUAAAAGAUCUGGCUCUUUCUCAAUCCUCUCCCACUGUAAUUCAGGGAUACAGGAUCUGAAUCUCUUUGGUCUCUUACACCAUUCUUAGGGUGUCGUACCAAAUAUUUAUGCACAAUUGUAGAACUUUCUCUUCUAAUAAACCUCUUUUUAUCACUCUGUGAUCAUUACUCAUUUGUUCAUUGAAGUUUUGUCACCAGCACGACAUUUUUCGUUUUGUUCAAUCUAUGCUUAGACAACAAAAUCCGAAGGGAUAGUCUUAAUUUAGACUUUUCCUUCUUAGACAUUUCACCCUUUAAACUUGGUGUACUCUAAACAAUAGUCAUGUUUCAGGUUCCUGUAUUGUUUAGAAGCUUUCAGAGUAAUAUGCAAAACUUCUUUUGCUUGAAUAUUAACAGCCCAUUAAUCUUUAUUUCAAUGGAAAAUGCUUGAAAAGAUUAUCACAAUGGGAAAGAUGAAAUUUUAUUGAGAGUAGAGCUCUAAACAAAUAAAUUAAUCAGGAUAGAAAAUUUUGCUAAGAUUCAAAAUGAAUAAGAUGAAAAGGAUUAUUACAAUGGAUAAGAUGGAAUUUUAUUGAGAACAAAGCUCGAAAUAAAUAAAUAAUCAAGAUAGCAAAUUUUUCUAAGAUACGAAAUGAAUAAGAUGAAAACAGGUGCCCCAGAUAUCACAGUAUGAGCUUUUCUGCAUAAGCUUCUUGAGGACCAUUUUGAACUUGAUAUGUGUCUAGAAGUCCUAAAAGACUUUGUUGAUGUCCCAAGAUGUAGCGUCUCACCUUCUUGCUAAUUUAGAGAGGACAAGGCCACCGCAUGUCCCACCUUUGAUCAAAAUUUAAACUGCCCAUUCCUGGGUUUUCAAUUCAAAACCCCUUUGGUCUCAAGGUGCCCUUUGUGGGUUUUCACCUUGGCCUCUCAUUCUUCUUUUCUUUUCUUUUUCCUUUCUUUUUUCUUUUCUUUUUUUUAACAUUCUUUGAUUGAAUUCGCCCUCGUAGGAUCAGGUAAGUCAUUGCUAUCCUUUCUAGUCGAAAUCAACACUUCUCCAGAUAAAGCCUUCAACAUAAGGUUCUUUUCAGUUUGAUAUCCUCUUUCUUCUAAAGUUCUUUUUGUAUGGAGAGGAUUUUCUUCGAUAUUAGGUCUCCUUCAUAGAAUUCUCUAGGGCGAACCUUCUUUGGUGAGCUCACGUCUUUUUUUUGUGGAUUUGACCAAGAUAGAUAACUUUGAACACUUCUCUUCAAUCGAGAUCUGAUCCAACACUCGAAGAGAAGGAAUCUUGACCUCAAUGAGCAAAACUACGAUGAGCCAAUGUGUUGCCCCGGCAGUAGUUUUUCCUCUCAUUUUUGUUUUGUUUUGUUUUUUAUUUUUGUUUUUUUUACUCCCACUGCGCCGUGCAUUUUGGGGCAAAAUGUGUUAAUCUUGAACAGACUGUAAACUUAUGACAUUGUGCUGUUGUUCAAUUUUAGUGCAUUGUUAGAUGUGCUUCUUUUUGGCAUUUCAAAUUGACACGUGAUUUUUCAAAAAUUCGCAGACUGUUGACCUUGCGACAUUGGCAUAUGAAGCAGCUUUUGCCUACUUAGUGAGGUAAUUGAUGACCAAAAAGAUAACCGUCAAAAACCUUAGGUAAGAUCAGCCUUAUGACAUUUGUGUCCCACGUAGAGAAAGGGCAUGGCUUCUAUUGAUUCUGUGUAAAAUAGAAUCUUGUUAUCUCGUUUUUAACAAAUCAGGAGAUAAGUUACAAUCUCAGUUAUCUCCAAAGGCUUGAGGUUUAAUCUGGACACAUAUCUUGCUCAAAAGGAGGUUCUGAAUCAAUAGUAGUGUUGCUCAUAUCAUUGAUAUUUAGAGACCUGUUAUAGGACGAAAGUAGAUCCAAAGAAUAAAAGAAUCUAAAAAUAUUUAUCUGUAUCGUAUGAUUAUGAAAUGGAAAAAAUAAAAGAAUAUUUGCCCGAAGUGAGAAACAAAGAUGCAUUUUAUUGAAAUAAAGAUGUUGGACAUAAGCCUAUCUCACAAAAGGAUUCUUAUUACCCCUAGGCUUAGAGAAAUAAGUGUGUUUUGGACAUUACUCCGAAUUAGGUCUAAAAUAUACAGGGAUCUCUUUCACAGUCCCACUAUUCAAAACACUUCCAAGUCUGUUCUUUUCACCAACCCCCUUCUUGGAUAUGAUGUUAAUGCUUUGAUAGCCGGCGAUUAUGACCCUCGGUUGGCCCACAGUGACCAAUUUGGGAUAUCUUUCAUUAUAUAUACUCAAGUUGCUUACUUCAUUUUCUUUGUUCUUUAGGGUUGAUCCUCUGACGCUUUCUCCCGUAUCUAUCUUCCCACUUCUUAUGGCAUUUUCACUCAUCUUGCCAGACAUUACCAUAUCUGAUAAGCUCAUGGUAGCGCUUCCCAACAUGUGGUUAAUGAAUGGGGCUUUCAAAGUGUUGACGAAAAGCAUCGUGGUUUCUUUUUCUAGAAAAGGUGGUUGGACUUAUGUCGCUACCUCUCUCCAUCUUUGGGCAUAUUGCCUGAAGCUCUCACUUUGCUUCUUUUCCAAGUUCUGUAGUGUAAUUCUGUCAGGUGCCAUGUCUGUCACGUAACCAUACUGCUUCAUGAAAGCUCGUGCCAAGUCUUUCCAUGAGUGGAUAUUGGCACGGCUCAACUGGUUGUACCAUUUUACAGCUGACCCGAUCAGACUAUCUUGGAAGUAAUGAAUUAACAGUUGAUCGUUAUCAAUGUAUCCUAUCAUUUUUCGACAGAACAUCGUGAUGUGAGCUUCGAGACAACUGGUCCCAUUAUACUUUUCAAAUUCUAAAGUCUUGAAUUUCGGUGGGAGUACUAAAUCUGGGACCAAACUUAAAUCCUUGGCAUCAACCCCGCAAUGGUAAUCAACAUUCUCCAUUGCUUUUAGUUUUUCUUCCAACCACCUAUACCGAUCUUCGAGUUGCUUUGGUAGUUCUACCCUUACUUCUGCCAUUUCGUCUAACUCAGGAAUAACAAGAUUGGUUGGAUCAUUCUUUGGAUUAGAACCUGAGCCUGUCGGAUAGUUCAUUAGCGCCGAGGUACCGGCCUGAUAUCGUUGGGGUCUGUUAGUAGUGGGUGCCCCUUGUAGAUGCGCGUCGGGUUGGGCCUGGACGCCUAUUGGGGUGAAACCUGGGAGAUAGGCAGGGUCUUCAUAUUUAUCCCCAGAAUUGGCUACAGGGUUUUUCUUUUUAUCUCUAGCUGAGAGCUGUGCUAAUUGGCUCAUCAAGCUCCUUUGGGAUUUUUGCAUGUCUUGUUGGAUAUUUUCUAGUUGUUCUUGCAUCUGGGCUUGCACCUGUUCUUACAAUUGCUCUAAUCUCUCUAGUCUCUGAUCUAUUCCUUUAGUUUUUGCUCAGAUACUGUAAGGGUGUUGGUUUUCCAGAUUAGCUGAAAUAAUUUUACUCAAUUAGGGUCUUUUAAUGGUCCUUAAUGCACAUGAUGCCAUGUAAUGCGAAUGCAUGAAUGCAAAAAAGACGUUGACUCUGAUUUAAUUCUAUUUAAAAAACUUUACUAAAAAACAAAUUCCUUUACAUAAAGCGAAUGCAUGUAUGGCCUCGCCCUCAUAUUCCAAGAAACAACAUUGGUCUUCUUCUUUAUCUGAAUGUUUAAGAUAAAUAUUGCAAAUUUCCAAUGGAUGCCACUACUAACUCCUUCUUGCUUGAUUCUGGUUGUGAUCCAUCGUCUGCCCAUCCUCGUAAUGCUCAUCAGCUUCUUUAAGGAAGUCAGAAUGUCGGUGACUCUCAAAUAAUUAGCUUGAAUUUUUGGGCCACGAAGUAAAAUGAUGUACUCUUCCAUCACCUUUCUUUUGUCGUGUUUCUUGGAAUGUAUUCGGGCAGCCAUAUUAUCUUCCGCUUUAUCAAGAAAUCCGUUUUCCAUGACAAACUUUCUAAUUUAGUAAUCAAACUUGAAUCAACACCUUUUUCUAAGAUGAAAAUGCAAUGCAAUCAUAACCAAAACAAAACGAAACAGGUUAGUACAAAGCAAAAGCAAACAAGAAAGAUAGAGUACCUAUUCGGGUAUCCACUAAAGGUUUGGAGUGGCUCUACCUAGGUAGAUUCUUAUGGCUCACUACAUGUGGUUCGAUUCUAAAGUAAAGGUACCUGAACCAACAGAUUCCUCAAUCCUCACCUAUUAUAGGCUCAUACGGACUGAGUUCAGUUCAGGGGAAUACAUUUCCCUAUGGCCAUGUGGAGAUGAAAAUCUCACGAAGACAUAGGUACAGAUGUAUCCCGGAAGCGAUUCACUAUCCCAUGCGAAGGUGAAAACCUCACGAAGGCGUAGUUUCUCACUCCCACUUAAAAGGGUGUGACCAACGGUCAUGCAAUGCAAUGUGCAGAAAUAUAUAUCUAAACUCAAAAUAACACAGUAUUUAUAAAACCACAAUGAUGAAGAUCGUAAUAAAGAUGAAUGAAAUACAAUGAAAGGAUAGUAAAUUUAAAUCAAAUUCAAUUUUUGACAAAAAGACAGAAAGUAAUCAACACGUGGCUUGACUCUCUUAUUUUGGAUCCCCAGUGGAGUCGCCAAGCUGUUGACACCAUUUUUUUGAUAAAACGGGGUCGACUUGGGUUUUAGAAACAAAAACGGGAGUCGCCACCAAUCCUUUUUGAUGAGGUGUGAUCGGGUCACCUCGUAAAGUGGUUGUUUUUAAUAAAUAAUUUGAUUUUUAUGAAAACAAUGAUUUUGGUCCACGAAAUUCAGAAAAAUGGGUUCGGGAGUCGAUUACGUCGAGGAAGGAUUAGCACCCUCGUAACGCCCAAAAUUGGUACCUAGUUGAUUAAUUAAUGUCUUAGUGUCGAAGAUUGAAAAUUUUAAAGAAAUUUAAAAUACGAUCUUUUAUUGAAAUGUUGAAAAUUUUCGGGAAAGGCAUAUUUCACGUUGAUCGAGAAAGAGAAUUAUAUCCAAUAAGUUAGGACACAAUGUCUUGAAUUUCUGAUACGUGAAUGAAUACCAAAAAUUUGCUUAUUUAAAAGAUAUUUAGCUAUCUCGGUUUUAAAAAAGAGAUCAUGCCCAGUAAGUUAAGACACGAUCUUUUCUUAAUUCCCGAGAUCAUUUAAAAAUUUGUUUGAAAUGAUUCGCGUAUUUAGAUUUAUCGAGAAAAUUGAAACCCCGUAAGUUAGGGUACGAUUUUUCGAAUAUCAAAAUACAAAAAAAAAAUUUUGAUAUAUCGAGUAAAGUAAAACACGAUGUCGUAAAAAAUGCGAAAACAAAUUAUAUAGGAUACGCAUACGAAACAAUAAUAAAUACGAAAGUGUAACAUAAUACGAAUGAUAGUGACAAAAACAGGAUAAAAAAGGACGAAUCAAUAGCAUGCCAAAUAACGAGUGUAUAAGCAAAAUAAAAGUGAAACAUUUUUAAAAUAAUAAUGAAAGCGUGAAUAAAUAGAUAAUAAUUGAAUUAUAAUUAUAAAAAAAGCAAUAGGAUAUAUGUAUAUGUAUAUAAAGUAUAAGAUAUAAUAAGGAAUAUGCAAGCAUGUAUAUAUAUAUAUAUAUAUAUGAAAAUUAAAAAUAUGUAUAUAAAGAUAUAUAGAUAAAUAAGAUAUAAAGUAUAUAGAUGUGAAAAUGAAAAAAUACGUACAUAAAGAUAUAUAUAUAUAUAUGAUAAGAUAUAAAGUAUAUAUAUAUAAAAAAAAUUAUAGACGUAUAUAUAUAUAUUAUAAAAAUGUAUGAUGGAUAUGGAUAUAUAUGUAUGUAUAACAAAACGUAUGUGUGUGUAUAUAUAUAUAGAUAACAAAAAUUUGAAAUUAAAAGGACAUAGUUGAGUAAAUAGUAAUAAUAAUAUUUAUAAUAAUAUAAUAUAAUAGUAAUAAUAAUAUGUAAAAUGAUCAAUUUAACAAUAAAUAACUAAAAUACCAAAUAAAGGGCUAGAUUAAAAACUAGGCUAGAAUAUGGGGUCAAAUCGCUAAUAAAAUAAAAGAGGGGACCUUCAUGAACGCGCACAUAACAUGGAGGGACUAAAAUGGAAAUUUUUCCUUCUCCUCCAAAACGCAUCGUUCCGGGAGGGACCGAAUUAAAAACGCAAAGAAAAAUGGGGUAAAAUUGCAAAAGUAAAGAAUAUUCAAUUGAAAACACAGAGAAAAGCAGAAGGACUAGGGUAGCAAUUAUACCCUAGUCACAAAACACACGGAUCCUCCAAGUAAUGGGUCGGGUCACACCCGGGUCGCGCGAAACGGCGCCGUUUUGGCGCUGAGGCCCCCAUGUGAAACAACGACGUUUUUCAUUUGGUAUAAAUGUUUAAAAAAACCCUAAAAAAUUAGAUUCAUCCCCCUUUUUUUAAAAAAAUUUCAAAGAGCCAAAGCUCUCUCUUAAACCCCAAAUCAGUCCAUGGUUGCCGGCCGUCCGUCCAUCGGACUGGCGCCGUGGCCGGUGGCCGAUGACGGACCAAAUGUGCUUUUGAGCCCCAUUUUCGACGAUUUGAAGGCCAAUCCUUCUCAACCAAGAAGAAAGCCGAAAGAAAAGACCCUCACCCACCUUUUAAGGCUGAUUUCGACGACGGAGAGAGAAUCUCCGACGACGUGGCCGCGGGACAUCUCAGGUGAGCCUUUCUUUUUCCUUUUUAUCUUUGUAGGUAGAAAUAAAAAUAAAUAAACAAAAAAAACUAAAGAACAAAAUAAAUAGAAAUAACAACCGAAAAUCACCUUUGAAGUUUUGUUUUUUUUUUUUUCUAAUAUGUCUAUAGUAAAAAAAAUACAUUGACUUGGUGAUGGCUUUUUCUAGCCGAAAUUGAUACAACAUUUUUUCUUUGUUUGCUGCUUGCGUUUUUGUUCUUUUCUUGCAGGUGAUUGACGGGCGCAAGUGGCAGAGACGGUGAAGUGACCGUGGCGGUGGCGGCAGGUCAAGGGUCAGAAGACCCUAGGUGCGGCGCACCUAGGGUUAGGGUUUCCAGACCCUUUUUCUUGCUUUGGGCCAUUUGGGCCGUGGGAAAUUGUGUUGGGUUGUAUUUGGGUCCGUUUGGGUUAGGGGUAGAUUUGGGCUUAUUUUAGGUUUGAGUUAUUUUGUGUUUUAUUUGUUUGUAAUGGGCCCGGGUGAAAUUGGGCUUCUACAAUCAAGUUCACAUUUUAAAACUAGAAGAAAGAAAUCCUCAAAGCACAUUAGAGGGGCUGCAAGAUUGUCCAGUCAAAUAGACAAAUUAUGCAAUGCAGCUGACAAUAUGAGUCAAGCCACAUCUAGUUUGACUCCUAUUAUGGAUCCAUAUGGUAUUCCACAAGCAGAUAAAAUGCUUGACAACAUGUCGAAAGAAGUUCCAAAAGCUAGUCCGCUAUACUUUUUCGCACUUAAAUUAUUGCUCAAGAAGGACAAGUGAAUUAUGUUUUUAUCAAUUAAUCCCAAGAUUAGAGCUUUGUGGCUUAAGACGGAAAUGGAGGAUAGUUGAAAAUUUUCUGAUCUUCUAGGGUUCAGAGAUAUCUAUUAUGUGACUAAACAACAAUGCUAAACUAGUUUUAUCAAUAGUUAUUUAUGUUUGGUUUUUGGAUAUUGAAUUUAUGUUCUACUUAUUUAUAUGUAAUCUAGUUUUAUCAAUGGUCGUUUAUGUUUGGUUUUUGGAUAUUGAAUUUAUGUUCUACUUAUUUAUGUAUAAUCUAGUUUUAUUAAUAGUUGUUUAUGUUUGGUCUUUGGAUAUUGAAUUUAUGUUCUACUUAUUUAUACUAAAUUAGUUUUAUCAAUAGUUGUUUAUAUAUGAUUUUGGAUAUAAAAUUUAUUCAUAGGUGAUAAGUAUAGUUAAGGAUUACAGCGGUGAUGAAAGUGAUGAUGAAAGGGAAAAGAAAGAGAUUUUACAACGCAUGGAAUGUUUUAACCAAUUAUUUGUUGUUGCAUCUUAUUCCUUGCAAUUAUAUUACGAGAAGUAUAUAUUGAGGCAACCAUGCAUGGAUUCUAAACAGUCAGGUGAGACAUGGAUCCGAGAGAUUCUUGACUGUCACAAAUCACGUUGUAUGAUUAAUUCACUACACCAAAACAGGAUUUUAGCGGCACUUUUAGUGGCGCUUGAACAAAAAAUGCUGGUAAAAAUCAAGCAUUAGCAGCGCUUUAUGGAAAUCGCCACUAAAAACCAAAGCCCAACGGUGUCGUUUUCUUACCUUUCGGGGCUUUAGCGGGUUUUUUGAAAAUGCGUCGCUAAUGCUCGGUGUUUUAGCGGCGUUUUUUAAAAGCGCCGCUAAUGCUAGGGCCUUUAGCGGCGUUUUUGAAAAAGCGCGGCUAAAAACAUUUUAUCUUAUUUGGUUUAUUUAUAUAAUUAAAUAAGAUUAAAUUUAAAUCUAAUUGAAUAUUUAAAAUCUUCAAAAAAAAUAAUGACACGUAGAAAUAAUUUGAAAUAAAAUAUCUGGAAAAAUUAAAAUACUAUUAUUUAAAAUAAUUUUAAAUUUUUUGGGUACAUGAUUACUGAUUUUUUUUAAUUUAUAUAUUAAAAAAUUUCUUAUAUAAUCGUAAAAGAGAUGGUAUUAAUUUUAAAAUAUUGAAUUAAUUAUCACUAUAGUUUAGGGUUUUUGGUUCAGGGUAUAUGAUUUAUUUAAAAUUUAAGGCCAGUUUAAAAGUUACUAUUUUAAGGUUUAGGGAGUAUGGAUUUAGGAAUUAUGGAUUAGGGAUUAUGGUUUAGGGGUUGGGGUUUAAGGUGUAGGGGUUAGGAAUUUAGAGGUUUAGGAGUUAGACGUUAGGGGUUGAGAGUUAAGGAUUCAAGGUUUAGGGAUUUAGGGGCCAAGUUAGGGGUUUGUGUUUAGAUUAAUUUUUUUAAUUUAUAUUUUAAAUAUGUUCUUAUAUAAUUGUAAAAGAGAUAAUAAAUUUGUUUAGGGUUUUUAGUUUAGGGUAUAUGAUUAAUUUAAGAUUUAAGGCCGGUUUAGGAGUUCAUAUUUUAAGGUUUAGGGAGUAUGAAUUUAGAGAUUAUGAAUUAGGGAUUAUGGUUUAAGGGUUUGGAUUUAAGGUUUAGGGGUUAGGGGUUUAAGGGUUAGACGUUAGGGGUUAAGAGUUAGGGAUUUAAGGUUUAGGGAUUCAAGGGUCGAGUUAAUGUUUUGGGUUUAGAUUAAUUUUUUUAAUUUAUAUUUUAAAUAUGUUAUUAUAUAAUUUUAAAAGAGAUAAUAAUAAAUUAAAUAUAUUGAAAUUAUGAGUGUAGUUUAAAUUAUUUAAGAGAUAUAUAAUAGAUAGAUUUUAUAUGUAUUGAAUGGUUAAUUUAGGGUUUAAGGUUAAUGUUUACUUGAGAUUUGUUAAAUGAUAAAAUUUUAUAUAAUUAAUUAAUACUUUUAUAUUUAAAAAAAUUUAAUUUAAACCAUUUGAUAUAUUUAAAUAUUAGUUUAAAUAGAAUUAAUAAAUAAAUUAAAAAAAUAAUAGAUUGAUAUGGAUAUUUAGGUACAAUUAUUUAUUUUGGAGAGGAUCAAAUUAUAAAAAAUAAAAUUAAAAUACAAAAAUAAAAUAAUUUUGUUCAAAAUGAAAAUUUUUUACACACUUUUUAUAAAAACACCGCAAAAAAUAAAUAAUAGCCCCAAAAUUUAACUUUAAAAAUGCUACAAAAAUUAUUUCACUUUAAAAAAUCGCGCCAUUUUACCCCAAAUUUCCCCCUGAAAUCCCUAAUCUUCCCAUGUCCGACAAUAUUUUCUCAGCUGCCACACUCCAACAAAUACUCUGCACUCCCAUGGCUGAAAUAACAACCCAAAACCUUUUUAUUACAGCGCCAACAAAGCUUUGCUCUUUAUCCAUCUAUCAAAGAACACACUACUCUGCAUCAUACACUGACGAAAAGAAAAAAUAUGGGUUUUGAGAAGGGAGCUUCAUUGUUGGAAGAUUUGGUAGAAAAAGCUGGAGGCUGUGCUGUGAUGGAUGGGGGUUUUGCUACUCAGCUUGAGAGUCAUGGUGCUUCCAUUAAUGACCCACUUUGGAGCGCUCUUUGCUUGAUCAAAGACCCUCACCUUAUCAAGCAGGUACCUUUCGGUCUUCUUUCUCAUUCAGCUUUGUUGGAAAAUAUGUACAUUGCUGUCCUGCAAAUGACUCCAUGUCAAAAACAGGGUAUAAAGUUUGAGACUUGGUUUUAGAUUUUGAAUCAACGUGGAGUGUUCAUAUGUGCAGGUUCAUUUGGAGCAUUUGGAGGCUGGUGCAGAUAUCUUAGUUACUUCAUCUUACUAGGUUUGUUUAUUAGUGUUUUUCAGAUUCAGCCGAAUGACUUGAUUUGUUAGGCUAAUGUGUGAUCUUCUGCCUUUCAUAUAUUCACAAUAUGGAUAUGGUGAAAAGGAUAGGAGCUAAAUGCUUCCUUUUUCUAUGCAAUAGGUCCACCACUUUCUUGUGAAAAGUCAUGGAAAAUAUUCUGAUUUUUCCCUAAGUUUGGCUUAUUAAUGAACCAGACGGAAAAUAAUGUAGUUAUCAUCUAUAUAUGUUCAUCUGCAAUGAUUGAUUCCUUGGAAACAAUCAACAUAUCUUUGUAGAAACUUGCCUACCUUCAUAUUAGGAAGAGUAAUUUAUUUGAGAUUGUAUGGUAAAUGAUAAACCCAAUUUUAAUUACAAUUAUUCACACAUUCCAGAUUUUUUAAUUGAUUUGAAUCGAGCAAUUAGACAUAAAAGAGUAAUAUGGAUUUAAAAAAGAAGAAGCAAAUAUUGCAAUGAUAGUGUUUUCAUAUUUAAUAUUAUUUAUAAUUUUUUAAAAUAAGUUAAUCCUAGAAUAAAACUAUAAACCUCAUGUAUAAUGGUACCUGAACCUAAAUCAUCAAAGACCCAAUCUUAAGCAGCAGCUCAAAACUCGACAGAGGCUAAGGAUGAUGCUGCCUCUGGAGAGGUUGCACAAGCUGAAUAAGGAUGGUGGAGUUAAUAAUGCCACAGGAGCAGCAGUUGGUAGAGGCUUUAUACGGGAUUCAUCGGGCUGCUGGGUUAUGGGGUACAGUUGGAGUAUUGGUUGCUGCUUGAUGUUGCUAGCUGAGCAUUGAGAGCUAUAUGACGGCUUGUCUGUGCCUUGAGAUGCGGGUAUUCGGUGCUGGUGGUGGAAUCUGAUAGUCGGGCUGCGGUGGACCUUGUCACGGAUGUUACCAGGAAGGAGAUGUUGGAGCUCGUAAUGGCUGUUCGUGGCCUUUUGUCUUAGUCGUGGUGGGUAUUGGUGCGUCAUGUUCUGCGAGGUGCAAAUGCGGCAGCGGAUUUUGUCACCAAGCUCGCUAGGGAUUGCCCAUUGGGUUUGCAGCUGGUUCGGCACCCUCCUCCAUUUGUCAAACUCAUGGUUGAAUGGGAAGAGUAGGCCACCUAUUGUCAAUGACUGUUAACUUUGGUUGGCUUUUAGCCUAGGUUCAUUUUUGUUUUCAAAAAAAAAAAAAUUCAAUCUCAAUUUUAUCAUUCAAUCAAAAUCUUUAUAUAUAUAUAUGUAUAUAUUUUAUAGAUAUUUUUUUUACAUAAACUUUUUUUUAUCUACGUUUGUGGAUAUACAACAAUAAAAACCUGAUACUUUUUGAGCAUGCUUGUUAAGAUUCCAAUUGUGUAAGGAACCGAGAAGGGCCAGUGCAAAGUACAGGUGAAAGGAUUUCGGUCUGGUCCCAACUAGUUCGGGGUGGGUUAAACUCAAUACUGAUGGUACUGUUUCUGUAGGUGGUCUUAAGUCCGGGGUUGCUGGUUUGAUUAGGAAUGCGUUGGGAAAUGGGAAGUUGGCUAUAACAGAUUCAUUGGUGUGAGCAACGUUCUUGAAGUAGAACUGCAUGUUGUUUUGAAUGGCUUGAAGAUUGCCUGGGACAAAGGCUUUUAGCAAAUACUGUUGGAAUGUGAUAACCUUCAUAUUAUUAGCUCCUCUUAUUGGUCGAGGCAAUGAUGCAUUUAGCAAAGUUGAGGAAUUAAGUAGAACGAACUGGGUAGUGCAUGUUUCGUAUAUUGGAAGGAUGGUAAUGUGGCUAAAAUAGCUCUAACAGAUAGACCUGGGUUGCAAGUACCUUUAGACCCUUUUUCUGUUGUUCUUGACGUGUGGAGUGAUGAUGUUUCAGGCCUCUCUAGCUAUACAAAUGCUCAACACUUUUCCUUUGUAUUUUGUUGGCUUCACUACACCAAAACAGGCUUUUAGAAGCAGGUCCAGGUUUGCUAGCCUUUGAGACCAUUCCCAAUAAACUUGAAGCUCAGGUUUGUUCUUCCUCAUGUAUACUUUACAUGUAGGAAGUUACAUUCUUCAUUAGCUUUUCAAGUUUCUAGUGAUCACUGAUCCAUUCGUAAUCAAAGCCGAGCAGGGACGAGUGGCGCAUGUAUAAUGCACACUGGCUGCAAAGGUUAAUUAGCAAUCGUUGUGGUUCUUCUGCCUUUUGCGCCUCUCCCUUUUUUUUUGUUUUUUGGCUUUCUUGGUUCUCAGUUUCUCAAUUCUAUCCACAGUUGUAUGGGGAAACCAAAGCACUACCGACCUCCUGCAAGUUCUUUCGAACUUUAUUGCUUUCAAAUUGGCGGUUUAGAUUUUCAAAUUUGACUUAUUGUAAGGAUUUUUUGCUCAUAAUUUAUGGUGAAAUUUUACAGGGAAAGAAAAAGGAAGGAAAUGCUGCGAGAUAUGUGACGAGGUCACAAGCUAUUAAAAUCCUUCAAGUUAGCCUUUCGGAUUUUAGGUUCAUCUCUUCUUUCUCACUUUUAUUAAUUAUUAUUAUUUAAGCUUCCUUUAUUUGCCUUCUUUUAUCAUUUUUUUCAUGUUGUUUUUAGCUUCGAAGAUUAAUUAGCUAAUAAUUUGAAACUAUUGAGCUUCGUUAAGCUGAGAUUAGUUCAUCAAGUAGCAGUUAAUUGCUACUUUUGCUAACUGUUUUUUGCUCACUGAAGCAAAGAGAAGAAGUGUGUAUGGAAAAUAUUCUUAUUGCUAGCUUUUUACUUCAGCAUGAGUUUAUGACUAUGUUUUAAUUGAUAUGAUUUUGUUAUUAUUAUUAUUAUAAAAAAUCGAGGAUUUUAGUAAGAAAACAUAUAAAAAAAAAGCCUCAACCAAAUGAAACGCGUAUUGAUGGGGUUUGUUAUUUUUUAUUAAAUAUGGUUGGCUUCCUUUUUGCUUUAAUGGAUUUAAUACUGCAGGAAACUAUGCAUCCACAAAAGAGUAUUUCCGAGAGAGCCAAAGAAGAAAGUGAAAGGAAAUCAUCAUACUUACUGUCACUUGAAGGAUGUCAUGUACAUUCUUCAUGAUCCACUACUUGAGAAGUUUAGAGAAAUAAGGGCAUAUCAAAGGAAGAUAAAGAAAGCUAAGGCUAAAAAGAAGGAUGAGUUAGCAAAGCUUCUUCUAUCUCGUGCACCUUCUUACAGACUUGAUAUGGUCAUCCGCGAUAGGUUUGUGAAACAAUCUUUGUAUGUUUUAUUUCCUCUCGUUGCUAGUUGUAUCAAAUCUGUAAAACUUUUGUAUUAAAACUUUUAUAGUAAGCAGCAACAUAACUAAAUCACCUUAUGCUGAUAAUGAGAAGAUUUAUUGUUCCUAUUCCCUUGGCUCCAAUUUUUUUGGUUCAAAACUUGAUGUCUAAGUGCAUGCUUGAGUAUUUGGUAAUCAAUCCUGUGAAAUAGUUUCUAGUUAAGGUGGCAUAGAAGCAUAUAGUCCAGGCAUAGUCUGCUCUUACAAUUUAUGAUUGUUUUUUGGUUUCUCCUCUCCACAAACUGUCUAAUGUAGUUGGCAGAAUGAGAUGAUGUUAUUUAUGCCUAUACAUGCAUUUCUCUGUGGAUGGGUAACUUAUAUCUUUGAUUUGAGGCAUAGUUUGAUGACAGCAUAACUUAUUGCUGAAGUUAUACAGCCACGUUGUUUGCAUGCUGAUGACCAGUUUUGACAUUUAAGAUUUCAGCAUAACAUAAUUGUUUGUUAUAUAAUUUUUGUUUUAGCCUUAAUGGCUAUAUAUAAUUUUUAUUUUUAACAUCUCUAUUGUUUAUCAAGUUUGUCGGUUUAUCUGUUCAUUUGGUUUUGCAUCCUUUAGAUAUUGAAGGUGUUGUAGAGGAUUCAAUCUCUUCAAGCUGGAAAAGCCAAGGCUUAGCACUUCUUCAAGUGGAGUGUUUUUUAAUUUUUCAUUCCAUGGUCGUUUAUCUUAGUCGGAACUUGAAUUUGGUGUUAUUGAAACAGGGUUUUGUAGUUACCUUGUGUACUAGCUUCUUUAACCAUGAUUGUUAAUCAUUACGAGUUUUGUAAUUUCUUUUAUAUUUGGCCGAGUUAAUAGAGAUCAGAUGAGCUGUGAGGUAGAUUGCUCAUUUAUUUAAACAUAAUAUUUUAAUUCUAAAUUUAAAUUCAUUAAUUUUUAUAUUUAGCUUUAAAGUUAAAAUUUUAAUAGAAAUUUUAAUUUAAUUAAUUUUUUUAUCCUUAAAAGUAUAUAGUUUAAAGUUUAAAUUUCAAAAAUAAAAUAAAAUAUAAUAUUUAUCAUAGGAAUAAAUAUUAUUUAAUUAAAAUAUAUUUUUUAAAAUUCAUAUUUUUAGCGGCGUUUGUGAAAAAGCGCCGCUAAAAUUCAUUCUUUAUAGCGAUGUUUGUGGUAGAAGCGCAGUUAAAGGUCAUGGUCUUUAGCGGCAUUUUUGGUAGAAGCAUCGCUAAAGGUCAUGAUCUUUAGCGGCGUUUGUGGUAGAAGCGUUACUAAACGUCAUAAUCUUUAGCGGCGUUUGUGAUAGAAGUGCCACUAAAGGCCAUGAUCAUUAGCGGCGUUUUUUCACAUAAACGUCGCUAAAGUUAGCGACGUUGUCUACAGCGACACUUUUUGCGGUGCUUAUUAAAGCGCCGCUAAAAGUUUAUUUUGCUGUAGUGAUUUUAGGAUGUCUAAAAUGGUAUUCCCAAGUUUGUUGAGAGUUUUGGAGACAAUAUACAACUUGCAAACUUCAAGAAACAUAUCUUCUAGUGAAAUGUUGGGAAUUUUUUUAUACAUCUUGGGCACCGGUGCAAAAGGUUCCCAAUGUCGAGAAAGAUUUCAAAGGUUUGGAUCAACAAUAAGUUGACACUUUGCAAUUGUGCUUGAGGAAGUUUCAAGGAUGGCCACUGAUCUAAUUGCCCCCGAAGAUCUUUUUUUUAGCUCAAUACCCGAAUAAAUACGUAAUGAUUCUAGAUAUAUGCUCCAUUUUAAGGUCAAAAUAUUAUUUUAUAUUAUUAUAUUUUAAUAUAUUUGGUCGACUAAAAAUAUGCACGAGAGUAAUAUGAUUAUUUGUUCAGGACUGCAUAGGUGCAAUUGAUGGUACUCACAUUGCCACUAUUCUUCCAGCAAAUGAACAAAUUCCCUAUAUUGGAAGAAAAUGUAUCCCGACUCAAAAUUUUAUGGCAGUAUGUGAUUUUAAUAUGUGUUUCAUCUUUGUCAUGGUUGGAUGGAAAGAAUCGACACAUGACACUAGAAUAUUUCUUGAUGCAAUUUGAGAUCCAAAAUACAAAUUUUCGCACCCACCAAAUGGUUAGAUAUUUUAUUUAUAUGUGCUUUUUUAAAUAAUAAAGUAUAAGUUCUUUAAUUGAUAAUUUUUAUAAAAAAAAUUCUUGAAUUAAUUGUUUGUUAUAUUAUGACUUGUAGGAAAAUAUUAUCUUGUUGAUUCUGGAUAUCCUCAAAUGAAAAGUUAUCUUGGACCAUAUAGAGGUCAGCGAUAUCAUUUACCUGACUUUCGUAGAGGUAGACCAGUAUCUGGUAAAGAAGAGAUAUUCAAUCAUUCACAUUCAUCAUUACGUAGUGUGAUUGAACGAACUUUUGGUGUUUUGAAAAAAAUGGGUUAUUUUAAGGGAUAUGCCAAGUUAUAGUUUUGAAAAGCAAACGAUGAUCGUUGUUGCUACAAUGACGAUACACAAUUUUAUCCGAAAACAUGUCGGUCGAACUGAUGCAGAUUUUAUGAAAUACGAAGAUAUUAACUGGGCAUAUGAGAAUAUUAUUGAUUCAGAAAAUGCACAUGGUCGAGAAAGUGAUGAUGAUGACGACAACAAUGAUGAUGGUGAUGACAGUGAAUCAAACAAUUCAAGUGGUUUUGAAAUGGAAUUAACAAGAGAUGCUAUAACUUCUAGUUUAAUGAAUUCACUUUAAAUUGUAAAUGCUAUUGUAAAAUUUUUAGUAUUUAUAUUUGGUAUAUAAAUAUUAUCCCUUUUUAAAACUUUAAUCCAAAUAUAUGUGAUAUUUUAAUUUUUUAGGUUUAUGUUUUCUAUGUUAUGUUAAUAUCUAAUAUGAGUUAUAUAUUCAAAUACAUUUUAAAAUAAAAUAAUACAAAUGUGUCAAUAUCUAAUUACAAAUAUUUAAUUAUUAUAUUUAAAUAUUUAAAUAUAGUUUGUAUAUUCUAAUUAUAUUUAAUAAAUAAUUAAUAUUAAUUACUUAGAAAUAUUUAAAAUUAAUAUUAUAUACUAAAAUAUUAACAAUAAAUUAUAAUAAAUUAUUUUUUAUAUCUUUGCUAAAAUAUCAUAAUAUUAACUAAUUUGAACAUUAUUUAAAUACAUAUUUGUUACUUUAUAAUAUCAUUUCUAAAAUGGACAUUUUAUUCUUCAAAAGCACUUUUUGACAGCAAUAUCAAACACUCAAAAUUUUCAAAAGUACUUCUCAAAAGUACUUUUCCACAGCACUUUUCCAAAGCAAUGAAGAACUGGCCCAAAAGCACACUAGCUUUCGCCGUCUCAUCCGCAAAAAAACCUAAAAUGAUACACCAGAAACUCCCUCAAGACAGACAGAGCCAAGUCACUUUCUCGCUAAUCCCCAUCGAACCCUCCAAUUAAGCAAAGCCAUUUCAUAUUUCAACCCAGUGGGCACCACAAUUGCCUUACAAAAUUUACAAACUAAAAUGCUAAAAGUAAUCCAGAAAAAUACACAGCCCAAGCUCCAAAAUGCAAGAAAGUCCAUUUAAAAUAUGAGCCAAAUUUAGAUUUCAGUUUAAAAACUUGAAUCUAAUUCGUUUUUAAUUUUGUAAUAUAGUAUAUUCACUACAAGAAAAAUAUGAAUUGUCAACAUUAAAAUUUAUUGCUAAAUGUUGUAUUACCAUUACUAAGAGUUUAUUGCAACAACAAAAAAAUCGUUGCGAGGUCGUUGUGUAUACCUCUAUUGUACAAAAUAUGCACAACGAUUUUACAAAUUGAAAAGUCGUUUUAAUUAUAUAUAUUGCAACAACUUUUUUCAUUUUAAAAUAUAUAUUUUUUGUAACGACUUAAUUUAUUUGUAUAAAAAUGUUUUAGUUAUAGUAAAAUCUGUUAUAAUAUUUUUAACACAACCAUAAUACUUUAGUUACAAAAACUAUUACCUAACAAUAAUAUAUUGGUUGUAAUAUAAAAUUUGCAACAACUGUAAAUUAAAAUGCUAAGUUUUGUACGUAACAAUAAUAAUAUUGAUAUGUAAUUGUAUUACAUUACUCAAUGAUUAUAUGUCAUUGCCAAAAAAAUAUUUUAAUAACCAUAAAAUGUGGUUGCCAAAUCAUUUACUUAAGAACAAUACUACUGAUUACUAAAUAUUAUUCUGCAACUAUUUUAAUUUAUUGUGUACUACAUUGCUGUAACACCCCUAAUGUAACACCUCUUACCCGAGACCGUUUUUGGAGUCGAGCACGAGGCAUUACUUAGCUUAUCUUACUAAUUCGGAGCAUAAAAACUUGGUUUGAAAAUUUAUUUCACUAUUUACAGCAAAUCUGUCCACCCAUGCAGUAGUCACUUAUUUAAUUAUAACUCGAGUUACGAAACUCAAAAUUUAGAUCCGUAAAUUUUCCCUGAAAUUAGACUCAUAUAUCUUUUCACCAUAAAAUUUUUCAGAAUUUUUGGUUUAGCCAAUUAGUACAGUUUAUUAGUUAAAGUCUCCCCUAUUUCAGUGACCGACCAUCCUGACCUCUUGUCACUAAAAUUCAAUUAUCUCUUUGUACAGACUUCAUAUGGUGCUUCCACUUAUUUCUCCUGAAAAUAGACUCAUAAAGGAAUAUAUACAUAUAAAUUAUAACUCAUAAUUCCUUCUGUGAAAUUUUUAAUGAAUUUCUAAAGUCAGAACAGGGGACCUCAAAAUCAUUCUGACCCUGUCUCACUAAAAUUCAAAUAUCUAAAAAUAUACAACUCUUUUUCUUACUCUAUUUCUUUCAUGUGAAAUUAGACUCAUUCAGCUUUAAUUUAGUAUCUCACUCAGAUUCUAAUUCAAUUUCCACCAUUUUUGAUGAUUUUUCAAAGUUACCUCAAUGCAUAUAUCCGAAAACUGUUCCAUUGCAAAUUUUAAAAAAAUUCAAUAUAACCCCUUUGUAAUUAUCUAACCUUCCCUGCAAAUUUAAAUCACAACCAAUUCCAGUAUUUCAACUACUUCAUUUAAAUACUAAUGAAGUUCAACCAAUCAACCAUUUCAAACAAAAAAAAAACAUGUAUAUAUUUCGAUAUCUAACACAACCAUAACAUUCAAAUUUAUUUUGCAUACUUAGUCAUUCAUACUAAUACUUUUUACUUCAAUUCCCUAUACAUGCCAUAUAAAUCCAAAAAGUUGUUUAACAAAAUCUACCGGAGUAAAUCUGGAUAGUGUGAUCGUUGUUGUAGAUCCGAUCCUCCGAAAUAUAUAUAUACGUCAAUCUACAAGAAACAGUAAACACACACCAGUAAGCUUACAGAAAGCUUAGUAAGUUCACAGGCUCAUAAUAAUAUAUUACCAAAAUUUCACUAACAACAUUAACAAACAAAUAAAAAUUCAGCAUUUCCUGCCAACCCCAAUCUCAAAUAAUAAAUAUAUAUAAUCGUGCUCAAUUUCAGAUGUCAACUUCUAUUCCAACAUUUAGUUUCAAUUGCACUUACAAAUACCUGUCAAAUUAAGGAUCGUCUUACGGAAUUGAGUACAUCGUUUGCCCGUGCCACGAUUUGCUUGAACAUUUCACAUUGCUAUAAUUCAGUAUGGUUUUCUUCCUUGAAAUACCAUACCUACUUUUCACAACUUAGUAUGGUUUUCUUCAUUGAAACACCAUACCUACUUUUCACAACUCAGUAUGGUUUUCUUCACCGAAACACCAUACCUACUUUUCACAAUUUUCCAUGGAUCCACCAUGGACUUAUCCGUCAAUUCGUCGUUGGUUGCCAAACAUGUGUACUCAAUCCUGCGUAUCCCUUAAUUUGAACUAACAAUCUCAUCUUCUUCUCAUUUUUACCAUAAUCAUAAUUCAGUAACAAUAUACGAAUUUAUACAAUAUAUCAUUUCCACAUUAACAAUUAAUCAUAAAAAUUCAGCCAUAUGAACUUACCUGGGCCGAUUUGUAGAAGUUUUAAAAGUUCAGAAACUAGUUUGAUACUUUCUCUUUUCCGCGUUUAUCUUCGGAUUCCCGAUCUAUAAUAUAAAUUUUUCCAUUCAUUAGCAUCUAAUUCAAUACUAAUUUACUUCACAAUUUAUGCCUUUCAAUUUUCAAAAUUACACUUUUACCUCCAAAAUUUACAAUUUUUACAAUUUGGUCCCUACUCAAUUAACCCUUCAAUUGAUCAAAAUUUUCCCAAUUAACACUUUAUCCAACCAUUUUAGACUACUGAACAGCCUUUGAUAUUCAUAAUUUCAGUACAAAACCCCAAUUCCUAACUUUUUCACAAUUAGGCCCUAAAAAUCAUUUUCUACUAAAAUCAUUUUAAUAAGAUCAUAAUAUAAUGAAAUUAAGACUUAAAAUCUAUAAUAAUUCAUCAUAAAAUUCCAGAACUUAUUCAUGGUAACUUACAAAAUCACUCAUAAAUUCAAAAACUAACAAAUUCAAUAGUUGGACCUAGUUGUAAAAGUCACAAAACAUGAAAAUUUCAAAGAAAAAAGCAAGAAUUGAACUUACAUGAUGAAAAAUAUGAAAAACCAGCUUGAAAACUCUCUCCUAUUACGUUUUGGCUGAAGAAAAAUGAUGAUAUCUCUAGAUUUUUCACUUUUAUCUUUGUUUUAUAUAUUUAAUUUGUAAAAUUUCCAAUUUUGCCCUUAUUUCUCCUUACUUUCCUGCUGAUUUUUCUUGCCCAACCGUCCAGCCCAUAAAAUUUUGGGCCUAAUUGCCUUUUAAAUCCCUCCUCAUUAGUCACUUAAGCUAUUUAAUCAUAAUUUAACAAAUUUUACACUAGUCUCAAUUUAGUCCUUUUUAGUUAAUUGACUAACCAAACGUUAAAAUUUUCUAACGAAACUUUUAUACUAACUCAAUGACAUUCCAUAAAUAUUUAUAAAAAUAUUUAUGGCUCGGUUUAUGAACUCGAUGUCUCGACACCGCAUUUUAGACCCACUUUACCUAUUAAAUUCUUUUUAAAUCACAAAAUUCACUAAUUCAAAAUUCUUCUAAAUUCACACUUGACCCAUAAUUAUUAAUUUAUUAAAUUUUAAGACUCACUUGUCAGAUUUAGUGAUCUCGAAUCACUGUUUCUGACACCACUGAAAAUUAGGCUGUUACAACUAACCCGAAUCCGUCGUCAGAACAAAGUUAUGGAGCAUCACCGAAAUUUACAAAUUAAUUUUCAGACAUCUAUUUCAUCUAGCAUUCAUAUUUGAAACCAACCAAAAUCAAAAUAUUAAUGAGCCAACGUUGGCUAAAUUAACUUAUACAUGCCAUUAUAACUAGAACCAAAUCAUCCAAAAUUACCGAUAAAACCAAUGGAUAGUGUGAUAUAUCUCCGACAAGUUUCCAACCCAAUCGAGCUUCCGAUUAUCUGUAGGGUAAAUAAAAAAAAUAAAUGCGUAAGCAAUGAAUGCUUAGUAAGCUCGUGUAGUCUUUAAUCAUAUUAGUUCCUUUAAAAUAUGAAAUUUAUGCAUAUCAUGGAUAACCCAAAGUUGAUACCACAAUACCCAUGAAGCUAUAUUCAUCAACUUACAAGGUAAAUAAAUCCACAAUAUCACUUAAACACAUUAUCCCAAGCUUAGUAGGAUUUUAUAUAACUUUAUCUCUUCAUAAUUUCUUUAUUUUCAUUUUCAUUUCUUUACUUUCCACGCUUAUUCUAUAUGCGUGACACACAAGUCAUAAACAUUUCAUUCAACCAUAGUCACAAGCUAAUGCAUUUCCAAAGUCUUUUUCAAAUUGAUUACAUGAUAAGUUAUUUCAUAAGAAAUUGUAUAAUCUAAACCUUACCACUUUUUAGUGAGCGCUAGCAUAUUUUCACUUAAAUACUUUCCAAUUCAAUGCAUUAUAUAAAUAAUCAUAAUAUCAUUCAACCAAUAGCUUGGCACUUGCCUAAGCAUCAAGCAAGAAUACUAGUUAGUGUACUUGCACACAUUACAUAUAAACUCAUCAUGCAUAAUUUUCUUGUAUCAACAUAUUAAAGAUAAUCAUACAUUUACAUGUCAUGAUACAUAUCAUUCUCUUGUCGUUUCUUCAUAGACAUAUAUCAUUCAUUUCAUUAUUUCGAUAUUUCAUGUACCAUCAUUUUCAUGAAUUUCGUACAUACCAGUAAUAGUUCAUUUCAAAUUCAUGUUAUCUCACUUUAAAAUUUUACCCGUUAUAUCAUUUAAAUAUCAAUGGUUAUAUUUAUUUUAGAUCAAUACCAAUAAUAAUCUAUAAAUCUUUCAAUUCAAUCACAUAAGUCUUUUACCAUUUCUUUCUGAAUCGAAGAACGACUUACGGAUAUUAGUACAUCAUUCUUUGGUGCCAUAUUCCAACUAUGGUCUUGCACAUAUAAACACUGCCAUAGUCCAACCAUGGUCUUACAUUUAUAGUGCCAUAACCCAGUUGUGGUUUUAUCCAUCAAUUCAUCCUUUGUCACAGUACGAUUGUACUCAAUCCCGCGUUCAAUCCAAAUUGAGUAUUGAAUUCGAUAUUAUAUUUCCAAUAAUAAUUCAAUUUCAUAUUUUCUAUUACCCUUAUUAUUUCCCCAUAUUUAUCCCGUUGAAUUUCUUGGAAAUUCGAUGGAUUUUCAGAUGUACACUUUUAGUGUACAAUUCCGGGUCCGUCAAUUCAUAUUCAUGUGGGCACAUUUCCAUUUCAGAGAGCACACUCCUGCGAACCUCAUCCUUACAGCGGGAUUGCCAGUCCAGGCUAAAUCCCCUAUAAUAUAAACUCAUAGAGUAUUGUCGGGAUUACCAGUCCAGGCUAAAUCCCCUGCAACGACAAUUAUUGUAAUGAUUUUGGAUCUGAAUUAUCAGUCCAAGCUAAAUUCAGACCCUAAUUCAGAUUACCCGUCCGGGUUAAAUCCAUUUUCCACAUAUUCUUCGGGAUGGCUAUAUCAGGAUAGGAUCACCCGUCCGGGCUAGAUCCUUUUUACCGUCAAUUCCUUUUCAGAGAUCUAUCGAAUUUUCCUUCCAUUCAACCGGGAUUUCUUCCCCUUUUUAUAAAAUAUAUCAAUGUUUCAUCAAUUUUCAUACAAUGAACAUUCAAAUCAUAUUACAUUAAUAACAAACAUUUCAAGAAUUUAAGAAUAUAAUUCAAGUUACACGAACUUACCUCAUUACUUGUUCGUGUUUACAAUUUCACUAAUUUGAUGUCUUUUCUUUUCCACGUUCAAGUUCCAUAUUUGAGUCAUUCGGAUCUUUCUAAACAAAUUUGAUCAUCAUUUUCAUUCAUUUCAUAUUCUGAUAUAUUCAAUUAAUACUCUAGGCAAGAUUACCAUAUUGCCCCUAAGCUUUUAAUUAAUGACGAUUUUAAUCCUUGGGCUCAGAAAAAUAAAUUAUUGUAAUUUUAAUCCUUGUUUUAAGCCUAAUUAUUCCCAUACAUAUUGAUAACAGCCCAUGAAUUCUAUAAAAUAUUAGAAUUUUUCAUAAUUUCAACACUUUUCAAUUUAAUCCCUAAAACAUGUUUUCACCCGAUCUUGUUCUAAAUUUCAUUCAAUUUUGUAAUUUAAAUAAAUAAACAGUCCAUUUCAUGCAAUUUGGUCAUUUUUGACAUUUUUUACAAAUUGCCCAUAAAGUUUUACUUUUAUUCAAUUUAGUCCCUGAGUCUAAAACAUGCAAAUUAUCCAUGCUAACUGAAUAUUCACAUAUAUAUCUUCCUCAUCCUUCUCUUCAUUCCACUUCCUUAAUUUAUAUAAAAUGCUUAUAAGUAACAUUAUCUAUGAUUUCACAAUUUACUUGUAAAUUUAUUCAAAGCUAUCCAUUUGAGUCAUAAUCACUAAAUUAUUUUUAUCUUGAGCUACGGAACUUCAAAUUAGGAUCUGCUAAUUUUUCCUGAAACUAGACUCACAUAUCUUCUUACCAUAAAAUUUUUAGAAUUUUUGGUUCAGCCAAUAAGUACAACUUAUUCUUUAAAUUCACCUCUCUUCUGCUAUCUGACAAUUCCGACCCUUCUUCACUUAAAAUUAAUUAUCUCUUUGUAUAGAAUUUGGAUUAUGUCCCCAUUUUUUUCUCUUGAAAAUAGACUCAUUAAGGAUUUUAAACAUAUAAAUUCUAACCCAUAAUUAUUUUUUUACUUUUUAAUGAUUUUUCCAAGUCAGAACAGGGGAACCCAAAUUCAUUCUGACCUUGUCUCACAAAAUUUAUUAUAUCUCAUAAUUUACGAUUCUAUUGCUUACACCGUUUCUUUUAUGAGAAAAUAGAAUCAAUAAGCUUUAAUUCCAUAUUUUAUUCAUACUCUAAUUCGAUUUUCAUAAUUUAUGGUGAUUUUUCAAAGUGAGCCUACUGUUGCUGUCCAAAACUGUUUUAGUACAAUAUGUUUAUUACCAUGUUUAUAACACCCUUAUUUUCUUUCUUUACACUGUGUCUAAUCACUUUCUCUUAUUUUCUCUUCACUAACAUAUCAAGAACAUAGGACCAUAUAUACAAAAACUUUACAUUAACAUCAUUUCCAUACUUUUUCAAUAAUAUUAAACUUAAAAAUAUAUUAAAAUCUUAAUGUACUUACCUUGUCAUAUUGAUUUCAAUCUUUAACUUGAUUUUCUCUCUCCUCCAGCAUCUAUUUCUUGAAUCUAACUUGAUAUUCUAGCUCCCCAUAGUCUCCUUGUUAUCUUUCUCUUUGAUGGAUAUGGAAAUUCUUUUGAUUUCUAGGUGAAAAUGGUGAAUUUUUGGUGGAAGGACUAAAUUGUAAAGAAAGUAAAACUUUCUUUCUUUCUCUCUUUUCCUCACGUUAGUGCAUGAAAAAAAAUGGGUGGGUUGCAUGAUUCUUCAUCUUCCUUUUCUUAUAUAUAUACUAAAUAAAAUAAUAAUAAAAUAUUAAAAUAUCAUUUAAAAAUCAAAUUAAAAUACUAAUAAACUAAUAUUUAUUUAUUUAAUCAAAAAUAUCUCCAACAUCAUCAUCAUCUUCUAUAUUUCCCUCUCUUCUAAUUGAUCAUUUUGCCCUUUAUGAUCUUUUAAAAUUUUAUCCUUGAGUCAUCACUUAAUUUGGUAAAAUUACUAUUUAGUCCCUCAAAAUUCUUCACCUUUUUCAAUUUGGUUCUAAUCCAUCCAUUUUCCUUAGUUUCUAGAUCAUUCCACCCUUAAAAUAUUUACACCAUUGGUCCUUCAAAUUUUUAUAUUUACACUUUAAGCCCUCAAUUUUUGAGUAUUUACUCUUGGGCAACAAAAUGUUUUUCACUUUUACGAUUUAAUCCUUUCUUGAACUAAUAUGUCAUAAUAUACUUCUCAAUGUUGACAUAACUCAAAAAUUUCCCCUUUUUGUCGCUUUAUUUCCUUACUUUAUUAUAUCAAAGAUAAUAUCUUACUGUAAAAAAAUUUUAGGGUAUUACAAUUGCGCAACAACAAUAUUAUUUUUAAUCAAAUGGCUAUAUAUAAUUUAAUAAAAUUUUAAAAAAUUUCUUAAUAAAAUUUUAAAAAAAAUUUCUUCAUCCUCUAACUUAAUAAAAUUUUUAAAAAAAAUUCAUGUUAGAUUGAAUUGACAUUGAGGUUAUAUAUAGUCACUGGUCAUGUCAAAGAGAAUAGCUCUACCAAAAUAAAAAAUUUAUUUUUAUUAAAAAUUUUAAAAAAAAUUAAUUGCAGCAUAGUAACCGUCAUUCUCUAUGACUCUAUCAAAUAAAAUAAUAAUUUUAAUUUCAAAUUAAAAAUAAAAAUCACUUUAAAAAUUUGACAUAAUAAAAGUGGUGUGACCAAUUUAUUUGGCUCCCGAAAUAUUAUUAUUUAUUUUCUAGUUCCCAAAAUAUUUAAAAAUAUUGGUGUUAGAGUGGUAUUUAUACGGGUGAAGCCAAAUAAAUUAACUUUACCUACAAAAAUUAAUUUUUGUUAUAAAAUAAAGAGAGAUGGAGAGAAUGAAGAACAAAUAAAAUAUGAAAGCAAUAGAGAAUGUACUUUAUUGAUCAAAGGGAUGAUUACAAUGCUUCAUCGGAGUCUCUAUUUAUAGGCAUAAGAAGUAUAAAAGAAGUAGAGGUCUAAUUCUAAUAACUAAUAGAAUUUAAAGUAUAUCAAAGCUUUAUCUUGAUCAUGAUGGACAUCCACUAAAUAAGAUAUUUAUAACACUUCCCCUUGGAUGUCCAUUGGUGGAUAAUGUGCCACGUUAAAACCUUAUUAGGAAAAAUCCUGUGGGAUAAAAACCUAAUGAAGGAAAAAGAGUACACAAUCUUCUAUUACAAGUUGUCUCAUUAAAAAUAUUUACCAGGAAAACCCAAUGGGACAAUACCUUGGUUAAAGGAAAAGAGUACAACUUAUUUUAGACUCCCCCUAAUAGCAACAUUACAUUACAUCUUUAAGUUGACGCAUUCCAAUCUUGUGUAGUAGUCUUUCAAAUGUUGAAGUUGGCAAUGCCUUAGUAAAAAUAUAUGUUAAAUUAUCACUAGAAUGAAUUUGUUGAACAUUUAUAUCACCUCUUUUCUCAAGAUCAUGGGUGAAGAAUAAUUUUGGCGAAAUAUGUUUCGUUCUAUCACCUUUGAUGUAACCACUCUUCAAUUGAGCUAUACAUGUUGCAUUAUCUUCAUAUAAGAUAGUUGGCAUCUUUUCCUAUAAAGGCAAAUUACAUAUCUUCUAGAUAUGUUGGGUCAAUAACCUUAGUCAAAUACACUCUCGACUUGCCUCAUUCAUUGCAAUUAUUUCUACAUGAUUUGAAUAAGCAACAGCUAAUGUUUGCUUUGUCGAACAUCAUGAUAUGGUAGUACCCCCCUCACAUGUAAAUAAAUAUCAUGUUUGAGAUCGACCUUUAUGUGGAUCUGGUAAGUAUCCAGCAUCAGCAUAGCCAACUAAUAAGGAUUUUGAAUCAUCUGAAUAAAAUAAACCCGUACCAAUGGUCCCUCUGAAAUAUCUAAAUACAUGUUUAAUUCCAUUCCAAUGCCUACAUGUUGGAGAAGAACUAAAUCUUACUAACAAGUUUACAGUGAAAGCUAUAUCAGGUCUUAUGUUGUUUGUAAGAUACAUCAAUGCCCUUAUGGCACUUAGAUAUGGUACUUUAGGACCAAGAAACUCUUCAUCAUUCUCGCAAGGAAGAAAUUGAUCUUUAUUCACAUCUAACGAUCGUACAACCAUCGGAGUAGUUAAUGGGUGUGUUUUAUCCAUGUAAAAUUUCUUUAAUAUCUUUUUCAUAUAAGUUGAUUAAUAAACAUGAAUUUUAUCUUUUAAAUGCUUGAUUUGUAAUCCAAGAUAAAACUUUGUUUUUCCAAGAUUUUUCAUCUCAAAUUCUUUCUUUAAACAAUUUAUUGUAUUUUGAAGCUCUUUAGGAGUUUCCAAUAAUAUUUAGAUAAUCAACAUAAACAACAAUUAUUACAAAAUAUGAUCCAAACCUUUUUAUAAAGACACAUGGACAAAUUGGAUCGUUUUUGUAACCUUCCUUUAACAAAUGUUCACUAAUACGAUUGUACCACAUGUCGAAACCAUUUUUUAAGUUUGAAAAAACAGGGAUCGACUUUUAAAAUAAAAACGGGAGUCGCCACCGAUCUUUUAUUAAGGUGUGACCGGUUCACCAUUAAAAUGAUUUUUGGUCUGCGAAUUUUGAGAAAAAUAGGUUCGGGAGUCGGUUACGCACGAGGAAGGGUUAGCACCCUCGUAACGCCCAAAAUUGGUACCGAAUCGAUUGUUUAAUGUCUUAAUGUCGAGAAUUUGAAAAGAUUUUUAAAAUACGAUCAUUUGAAAAGAGAAUUUGAAUAGAAUGAAUUUGAUUGAUGUGACUCACUUAUAAAUUGUCACACUCAGUAAGUUAGAGUGUAACGUUUUAAAUCCUUAAAAUUAAGUUUAUCUUUUAACUUUUGAAACCUAUGCAUUUUAAGAAAGAUAUCCGAUUAUUUGGGUCAAAUGAUAAAAUCAAAACCCAGUAAGUUAGGGCUCGAUUUCACAAAAUUCCUAAAUAUCGAAUAUUGCCUUUAUUUUAAAGUCGAGAUAGCAAAAUGCCAUAUCCAGUAAGUUUGGAUCCAACAUUUUGAAGUCUCAAAAGUUUUAUUUUAAAAUUGUAUGGUUUUACCAAAAUAAACACUUGGCUAUUCAAAUUCAUCGAGAAGAAUGGAAGCCCAGUAAGUUAGGGCACCAUUCUCUCGAGAGUUAUGGACACCAGGCCUUUUUUGAAAAUUAUGAAAUAGAACGAUUGUUGUGCUUAAAAAAAACAAACAAUUUUUAUAAAUGUAGCAUGAUUGAAUGGUAAUAUACAAUGUUCAAGAUAAAUGGCAAUCCAAACACACACUAAAAAAAACAAGUAAAUAAUAGGUAAAUGCAAAUAUCAAUAAUAAUUCUAAUCAUAUCUUACAAACAUCAAUAUUAGCAAUUUAACAUCCAAUAAAUUAAUAAUCAAUUUUCUAAAAGGUACAUCAAGACAAUGAGAGAAAAAAUAAUUAAUAUCCUAUACAUAAAAGUUCUAAAAUAAAUUAAAUAUAUGAAUUCAAAAUAGACUCAAAAUAGAAUUAGAAUAACCAUUGAAUAGUCGAAUUUGAAAUAAAUUUGAAGCAAAUAAAAUACAUAUAUUAGCUUAAUAUAUAUAAAAGAUAAACAUAAUAAUAAUAAUAAUAAUAAUAAUAAUAAUAAUAAUAAUAAUACAUAUACUCGAUUAAAAAACAUACAUAAAAUAUUGAAAGUAAAACGAAAUUUAAUGGGUAGCAAACAUAAAUAAAAAUAAAAGAAAGAUUAAAUUUGAACUUCAAAAAAAAGAGGGACUAAAACAGCAAAUAGACGCAUAAUUCUAAUGAUUUUAAUCUGCUUGAUGAAAACGACGACGUUUGAAUAUGGAUUUAAAUGAAAUCAAAAUCAAAUCCACAGUUCAAAUUUAAAAAGUGAAUAAAAUCCAAUUGAAAUUAUACUGAACACGGAGAGACUCAUUGCGCAAAUAGACCAACGAGCGAAAAUGCGCGGAUCCUCCCCAGGUCGGGUCACACACGCGGGUCAUAUGGCCAAUACGGCGCCGUUUUAAGGCCACUGACGCAGGCCUUAAACGGUGUCGUUUUCCGCACCAUAAAUAUAAACUUAAAAACCCUAAAAAUAGCAGCCAUCCUUUGUCCUGGAAGAAAACCUAGAGCAAAGCUACUCCCCCCUGCACCACUUCAGCAUCGGAGCCCAAAGUCGACUGGUUCCGAACCAACGAGGGAUUCGACGGUAGACUUAUAGGUACGAGCCCUGACUCCCCCCUUCCUUCUCUCCUUUUUUUUAUGCUUAUAUAUAUGUAUUAAUAACAAAACAAAAAGAAAGAAAAGCGAUCGGAAAAAGAAAAGAAUCGAUCAGAGAAAAAAGAACCUUUUUUUUAUUGAUUUCCUUUUUGAUACAGUUUUUCGUGUGUUUUUUGUGUGCGAGAGUAACCCCCUUUUUAUAAUGCCUAUUUUGCUUUUUUUUUUUUAGCCAGAAAACAUGAAAAGAAAAGAAAAAAUGUUUUUCCUUCUUUGUUGUUGCUGCUGUUUUCUGUUUGUCUUCUCUUGCAGGUACGGGUGUGCGUGGCGUGGCUUGACAUGUACGGAGGCAAAGGUUGGCGAGGAGCGGCUCGGUUGGGUCUGUUGUGCGAGGGAGUUGCGGCGCCUGGUCUGUUCCAGAAACCCUAGGGUUUUUGGAAGCUGUUUAGGGCUAUUAGUGUUUGGGCUUAUUGGGCCUGGUGUAAUUGGGGUUAAACUUUAGUGGGCCUUAGUGGGUUAAUAACUUGUAUUGGACUGUUUUUAUUGGACUUUUGAUUUAUUUGGCUUUUUAUUUUUUUAUUUACUUGUUUUUUUAUAUGCAUGUGGGCGGGCACAAAUUGGGUUUUACACCACAUACAUUCAGAUUAUUUUUAUCCAUAUAAACUUUUCUUUAAUUUGAUUGAGUAAUUUUCUCAAGAAACUCUAUAUCAUUUUGGGAUUUUAAAUCUUUCAAGGAUUUUCAUAUAAAUUUCACUAUCAAGUGCACCAUAUAAAUAAGAUGUAACAACAUCCAUUAAAUGCAUGUCAAGUUUUUCUCGUACUGCCAAACUAAUAAGAUGUCUCUUCAUAAUCAAUGUUGGGCCUUUGCGAAAAUCCUUUUGCUACAAGACGAGCUUUAUAUCUUAUGACUUCAUCAAUUUCAUUUCAUUUUCGCACAAAUACUCAUUUAUAUCCUACCGACUUUACACCUUUAGGUGUUUUGGACUACAGGUCCAAAAACUUCACGUUUAGAAAGUGAAUCCAAUUAUACUUGAAUUGCAUCUUUCCAUUUUGACCAAUCUUUUCUAUUUUUACAUUCCUUAAUAGAUUUAGGCUCAGGAUCCUCAUUUUCUAAUGUUAUUUCAAUAGCAACAUUAUAAGCAAAAUUGUUGUCGACAACUACAUUAUUUUUGGUUCCAUCUUUUUAUCGUAUUGACAUAACUUAUCGAUAUCUCUUUAUUUUCAUCAUUUCUAUUUUCAUUUUAAGGUACCUGAAUCUCUUCUUGAGUUUUAUAAUUAGUUAUAUCAUAGGUCUCUUCAGGAACUCCUGCCUCCACUAUGUGACCGCCUUGAAUGUUUACUCCUUUUCUUUUAUAAGGAUUUUUAUCUUUGGAACCGACCGGUCUUCUAUGCUUCAGGCAUGGAUUACUUUCUUUUGCAUUAACAGUUUGCCCUAUUAGGACAUCAAUUCGUAUUGGAGCAUUUUCAGCUGGUAUUUGAAAUUUAAUGAAUUUGGCAAUUGAUUUGUAAAAUAAAUUAUCUGUUGAACUUCUACUUCACGUUGCUUUGUACGAGGAUCUUAAAUAUUGAUAAUUCAGUUCAAGUACUUUAUUAAUCCAACUUUUAUUCUCUCACUCCAAUGUUGGGAAAACUGACAACUCAUGUCAUAACUAAAUACCGAAUUAAUAGCUCAAAAAUAAUAUAAGGAGACUCAUAUAAAUAUACAUUCCCAAUCUCUUAUUAUGACCCAUCUUUGUGCGUUGUGGUGGAGCAGUUGGAACAUAUAUCGCACAUCUAAAAAAUGUAAGAUGGAAAAUAUUUGGCUCUUAACCAAAAAUCAAUUGUAAUGAAGAGUAUUUAUAAUUUAUUGGCUUGAUGCAUACAACAUGUAAAUCAAUACAAUCUCAUGCUGAAAUAGAAAGUUUUGUUCUCAUAAGUAAUGAUUUAGCUAUUAGUUGGAGGCAUUUGAUAAACAAUUCAGCUAAAUCAUUUUGUGUGUGAUCAUGAGCUACAAGAUGUUUAACUUUUAUCCCAAUUGACAUGCAAUAAUCAUUGAAAACUUGGGAUGUAAACUCACUAACAUUAGCAAGAUAACUUGUUUUAAUUGCAUAAUCUGAAAUUAAUCAUUUAAACAAGCAGUCUCGCAAACAAAAGGUUGCGAGUUGAUAACGCAUGUGAUUAUUUUGUAGAUGCAUCUACCAAAAUCAUAUAAUAUCAAAAUCAUCCACAUGGUGGAUGAAUGGGCCCAUAUUCAUUUCAGAAAUGCAAGACAUUAAAUCUCAACUUUAGCUAGUGAGUUUCUAAGAUUCAACUUUCAUUGAGAACAAGCAACAAAUGAGAAUUCUUUAAAUUAAAUAAUCUUUUGGAUCUUUAAUGAAUGUCCAUAUGAAUUCUCAAUUAAUUUUUGAAUCAUAUAUGAUCCAGGAUGGUCUAACUGGUUACGCCAAGUAGUAAAUGCAUUUGUAUUAGUAAACUUCUUGUUUACUUUAACAUGUGUUUCAAUUGUACUAAAUUGUAAUAAAUUGAUAAUUUUAUUGUCAUUCUUUUAUUUUGUAUCCACAUAUAAAUACUAUAGUGACAUUUACUAUUGGAAAUGUCUAAAUCUAUGUGAAGUCUAUAAUGCCACUAAGUCAAUAAAUAAAUAUAAUUUUCAAAUAAUUAUAUAUAAUAUUCGUUUUAGGGAAUAUGUCAAAAUAUUCAAAUAUAAGGCAUUUGGUCUAGUGGUAUGAUUCUCGCUUAGAGUGCGAGAGGUCCCAAGUUCGAUUCAAAAUAUAAAUAACUCAAUCCUCUUUUGAUUCAUAUCAAAUAUAAUCUUUUCCUCAUUCACAAUCUCAACAUGAGAUCCAUUAUGAAUAUCUUUUAAAACUAAUGCAUUAACUAUCACAAACUUUGUGCUUUUUAGAUAUUGAUAUAUUAUCUCUUCUAGAGCUUUCAAUUAACUUUUUACUAUCAAAUAUUGGAAUAUAUUUGUUUAUUUCAGCACCAAAUAAGAUAAAUAUUUUCUAUCUGUAAUGAUAAAAUUUAUUACUAGAUUCUCAUAUCCUUCCUUAAAGGAUAUUAUCAGAGACAAAAUAUUUGGGCAUGCACCACAUAUGUGACCAGUAAUCUCCAUAUCACAUUGGUAACAUAAGUUAUAUUUACCAUUUGAAAAUUUAUCUUGAGAACUCUCAUUGUUCUCUUAUUUAUUACUAUGUUCCUACUUUUAGUGGUCCAUGAGUAUAUCCUUUAUUUUCUUUAUGUUUACAUUCUCUUCGGGGAAUGCAACAAAUCUAGUAGGAUGGACUUAUAAACAUCCCAAUAGAUUCUUUAUUUCAUAAUCACCAUCGCAAACAUGCGUGAGAUUUAAAUCAAAAUUUAUCUAUUCAUAUUGUCAUGAUUAGUCUCCAAUUAUAAUAAACAUGAUAUAAUACAUAAAACAUAAUAAAAUAUACCUGAAGAUCUUUAACAUCAUCGUCAUCAUAUUGACUAUUAUCACGAGCACUAUUACAAGUAGUAAAACAACUUUGUUUUCGUAAUAACAUUUACAAUCUAAUAGUAAAAAUUAUUUAAUAAAUAAUCAAAAUUUGUGUAUCAAAAUUUUCAUGUACGAUGCUUGAAAAUUAUCUGAUACACAUUGUAUCAAAUUUCAAUACCACAUAUAUGUUAUAAAAUCUUAUCUUGCUCUAAUAAAAUAUUUAUAAGUUCAAUUUAAAAGAUAUCAUACAAUUAUUCAAUAUUAGAAAGCUAAUAAGACUAAAUAGAUCCUAUCAAAUUUCCUUUUAUUCAACAAUGGUAGGUUAUUUAGACUUUCCACCAUAAUUUUAAUAAAAUUUCAAGAAUAAAUAACAAGAAAAAAAAUUUAAAACACAAAAAUAUUAUGCAUAAUAUAAUUUAAUUAAAAAAACUUUAAAAAUAGAAAAAAGAACAUACCAUAUUAAUAGUAAACAUAUCUAAUCAAUAAUUAUGUCUUUUAAAUAAAAAAGCAAAAAUCAAAUACUAUCAGAAUGUGAAAUUUAUGUCAAAUAAAAAUUAAUAGUACUUAUACCUUAAUUGAAAAAGAAAAUAUGGCCGAAAUAUAAAAGUUUCUUACCAAAUCUAUACUUUACCCAUACUUGUACAAUAAAUCAAAGAUCAAAAAUAAGAAUCACAAUCCAUUCUGAGAUUGAAUCUUUCAACAUCCUGAAAAUGAAGUUGUAAGGGAGAGUUUAAGGUGAAAAGGAAUUUGAUUUGUGGGACGACUUCGAAAGAUUUUGAAAAAAAAAGAAAAUCAUCGUGUUGAUAACGUGUUAUAAAAUAAAGAGAGAUGGAGAGAAUAAAAAAUAAAGAAAACAUGAAAACAAUAAAAAAAAUAUACUUUAUUGAUCAAAGAGAUUAUUACAAUGUUUUAUCAGAUUUUAUUUAUAAGCAUAAGAAGAAUAAAAAAGAUAGAGAUCUAAUUCUAAUAACUAUUAAAAUUUAAAAUACAUAAAAAUUUUAUCUUAAGCAUGAUCAACAUCCACUUAACUUAAUAAGAUAUUUAUAAUAAUUUUUAAAUUCUAUAGGCGAAUUAUUAAGUAACGGGACAAGUAGGUGGUGAAAUUAAUAAAAAAAAAAUUCUGAAUUAUUUUUGUAAAAAAGCGGCAAAACCCAGAUUACCACAACAGAUGCAAAAUCUGAUCGGUGAAGUUAAGAAAAUGGAGACCAUGGGAAAUCUUCUAAUCCUUUUUCCAGCUUCUUUAUGCCUCUUCCUUUUCGUUGCUUUGCUCAAUGUUUUCUACAAGUAUUGGUGGAUACCUCAUCGUGUACAGUUCAUCAUGAAUUCACAAGGAAUCAGAGGACCUCCUUAUGAAUUUAUCCAUGGAAACAACAAAGAAGCUGCCCAAAUGCUCAUGGAAGCAUCUACCAAACCUAUGGCCUUGACACAAGAUAUAUUUCCCGAGUCAUGCCUCAUGUUUACUCCUGGAUCAACAAAUACGGUGAGAAUAUGUUUUUUUUUUCUCUUUUUGGGGUUGCAUUUUCUGAUUAACCUCCACUUUUCAAGAAAAGAAAUCAUUUUCUUUCAGGGAGGACUUAUCUUAGCUGGAAUGGAAUUCGAGCUCUACUGCUAAUUACAGACCCAGAUCUGGUGAACGAGGUCCUUAAAAACAGUGAAAAGGCUUUUCCAAAGCCGAAGGCUUCAUAUUUCUUCGACAAGCUACUAGGCGACGGUCUUGGUUCAACCGAAAGUGAGAAAUGGGCAAGGCUAAGGAAACUGGCCCAUUAUGCCUUUCAUGGGGAGAGCUUAAAAGUAAAUCAUCGCCACAUUCUACUCUAAUUAUUGUAGUGGAACAUCUACAAACUUGAUACUUUUUUUCAGAAUAUGAUUCCAGCAGUAGUUGCUAGCGUUGAAACCAUGCUUGAGAAAUGGAAAAGUAAGGAGGGCAAAGAGAUAGAAGUGUUCCAAGAGUUCAGAUUAUUGACUUCAGAAGUGAUAUCCAGAACCGCCUUUGGUAGCAGUUACUUGGAAGGGGAGAAGAUUUUUGACAUGUUGAUGAAGUUGACAGUAAUUGCAGGCAGAAAUAUUUAUAAAGCAGAGAUUCUCAUCAUCAGGUAACUUCAUCAAAUCUUUACUUUGUUAAUCAGCAUACUUCAGCUGCCAAUGGGUUGAUUUAACCUGGUUUUCCUUUUCAGCAAGUUUUGGAAAUCUGCUGAUGAAAUUGAAUCAGAUAAAAUUGCCAAAAUGAUACAUGAUUCUGUGAUGAAGAUUGUUAAAAAAAGGGAAGCCAAAGUAGUGACCGGAGAAGCUGAUAACUUCGGUCGUGAUUUUCUGGGAUUUCUGCUUAUCAUGAGGCGGACGAGAAAAAUAGGCUUUCGAUACAAGAUUUGGUAGAUGAGUGUAAAACUUUCUAUUUUUCUGGGCAAGAAACAGUCAAUUCCUUGCUUGCAUGGGCAACCCUGCUUUUAGCAAUACACACCGAUUGGCAAGAUAAAGCAAGAGCAGAGGUGAUUGAGGUCUUUGAUAAUCAAAACCCAGAUUCUGAAGGGAUGGCCAAAUUAAAGACGGUAAGCAAACUAUACAAAUUCAAUAGCUUGAAAACUAACAGUGAACAUUUAUAUUGCCCUUUGGAUUUCUUUUUCUCCAACAGAUUACCAUGAUUAUCAAUGAAACUUUACGGCUCUAUCCUCCUAUAAGUGGCAUGAUAAGAAAAGUAGGAAGAGAAGUCCGAUUAGGAACACUUGUCCUGCCUACUCAUUCACGGGUCGACAUGCGAAUCAUAGCACUUCACCAUGAUCCUGACUUAUGGGGAGAUGAUGUUGAUCUUUUCAAACCAGAGAGGUUUGCUGAGGGUUAGCCGAAGCUACUAAGUACAAUGCAGCUGCAUUUAUGCCCUUUGGAUUGGGACCUCGAUGUUGCGUAGGCAUGAGCUUUACAAUCAUUCAAGCGAAAAUUGCACUUUCCAUGAUUCUGCAACGCUACACUAUCAACCUCUCCCCUAGCUAUGUUCAUGCACCUUUACAACGUCUUACACUCAGGCCACAACAUGGGAUUCAGUUGUUGUUUCAUUCACUACGUUAUGAUGCUUAAAAUUCUAGGCUGUUGGUCUCCAAUAUAGUAAUAUAUAAUAAAAUGUGGGUAAUACUGUAUUUUGCAACCAUAUGAUGAUAUAUGGUUUUGGGAUUUCAUGUUUUGUUGAUAUUGUUAAAGGUUAAAAAGGUAUUACAGCAAACGUCGCCACCACAGGAGCAGGCCCUACAGUCCUGUACAUAACAUAAUCAACAACAAAAUAGUCCACCAAAGAGAAAUCAAUUCAAACUACCCCAAAAAGCUGGAACGGCAGCGGCAAAUCCAGUCAGCUCCCUGAACAUUAUACAGCAACACAGGAACAAGAACAUCACAACCCAGUCAUAUACAUGCCAUGAAGACAUUGGACUCCACAUUUUGCUAAAGUAUCAGCAAAGCAGUUAGAUUCUCUAUACACAUUCACAAAGGAGACAUUAUGGGAUCUCAUCACACAGCUUGGAAUAUGACCCAUCCAGCAUUUGAGAAACGGUGAAGAUGUCAAGUCCAGGAGCUCCAAACAAUGCCUCAGCCGGUGGACCCUAUAAUUAGGUGUCUUUCUUCCAUUACUACUGCAGUAGUGAAGUUUUUAUUGCACUUGGUUCCCUUCUUCCAGAGUUUCUGCUUGAAGCACUCACUCCUGGAGCCGGCCAUUGCUUGUUUUCAUUUUUAAUUUUUUAAUAUAAUAUAUUACAAAAUAUGAAUGGUCGUUAAAAUUUAUUGCUAAAUGUUGUAUUACCAUUGCUAAAAUUUUAUUUUAACAAAAAAAAUCGUUGUGAGUUCAUCAUGUAUACCUCCUUUGUAUAAAAUAUGCACAGAAAUUGAAAAGUCGUUUUUAAUUAUAUAUAUUGUAACAUCUUUUUUCGUUUUAAAAUAUAUUUUUUUUCUUAGCGAUAUAAUUUGUUUAUCUAAUAGUGUUUUAGUUAUAAUAAAAUUUGUUACAAUAUCUUUAACACAAUGAUAAUAUUUACAAAUACUAUUACGUAACAAUAGUAUAUUGGUUGCAAAAUAAAAUUUGCAAUAAUGUAAAAUUAAAUUGCUAAGCUUUUUACGUAACAAUAAUAAUAUUGAUUACCAAAUAUUAUUUUGUAAGGAUAUUUUAUUUGGUUGUGUAUUACAUUGUGCAAUGAUUAUAUUUCAUUGCCAAAAAAAUAUUUUAGCAACCAUUAAACGUGGUUGUCAAAUCAAUUACGUAACAAUAAUACUAUUGGUUGUUAAAUAUUAUUCUGCAAUGAUGUUUUAAUUGGUUGUGUACUAAUUGUGCAACAACUGUAAAAAUUUAUUUAAACAACCAUAAAAUGUGGUUGCCAAAUAGUUUGCGCAACAACAACAACAAUAAUAUAGUUGCUAAUGCAUUUACAUAACAAUUUUUACUUAGUUAUGAAAUAUUAAUUUACAAUGACAUAAUAUUUGGUCACGUCUUAUAUUACACGAUAUUUAAAUAUUGUGCAAAGUUAAUUUUAACAACCAUAAUAUUUUGUUGCAAUAUUUUUAUAUGUAACCAUAUUAUAAUGUUCGUUGAAAUUUAUUUUGCACCAAAACGUUAUCUAAUUGAUAAUAAAAAGAAGUAAUUACAAAUAUUAAAGAAAUUAGUUAUUUGUUUAAAAACAAUAUUACCAAAAUUUUAAGCUCGUUUGUUAGAGUCCAGCCUAAAAAUGGGCCUAAAUUUUUUUCAAGUCCAACCCAGAUAAAAAUGUCAAACCCGGUCCAACCUCGUCUUCUCGAAUGAGGGUUAGCAAAAUUCGAUUUAAUUCAAAAAAUUUAAUAAAAUAUUCAAAUUUUAAAUUAAAUAGUUCGAGUUAUUAAUGUUAAUCGAUUUAUUUGGAUUAACUCGAAUAAAAAAAAUUAAAAUUUUCAGUUUAACUCGAAUAUGAAUUACAUAAUUCGGGUUAUCUGAAAAUCUGAAUAAAAAAAUAUAAAACUACGUUGUUUUGAUAAAUAUUUAGAUUUUCUAAAGUUGAAGCCAAAACCAUUAAGUUAAAAACAAAACAAUUAUAUUGUUUAUGUAGUUAUAUAAUCUUGUAUUUCGUCUACUAGUUAAAUAAGCGGCCCAUGUAAAUGCAACAUUGAGUAUAAAUAAUAGGAUUUGUUAACUCUAAUUGACUUGACUCAAAAUUUUUUGACUCUAUUCGAUUCGAAAAAUUUUCAAAUUGAGUUCGGUUAAUAGGAUUCGUCAACUCGACUAACUCAAAAUUUUUUUACUCGAUCUAAUAUUCACCCCUAUUUCUAAACUAUAACAGUUAAUGGAAACUUGUUAAGUCAUAAAAAAUUCAAGUAAAUGUUUUAAACUUGAGUUUUAUGAAUACAAAAAAUAAUUUUAAAAGCUAUUUUAAAUUAUAAAAUUUAUUUGGUAUAAAUUAAAAUUAAAUACAAAAUAUAAUUAGAUUGUUUGAUAAAAUAUAAUUUUUUAAGAAUUUAAAGGUGGGGUAUUUGAAGGAUUUAAAAGAGAUAAAAUAAGAAUAAUUGAAACAAAUUCUACAUUAAGUUAUUUAUCUACUUUUCAUUUUCCACAUCUUUUCGUAGAAAAAUCCAAUCAUUUGUCUUUUAUUAUGAAUCAUCAAACUUGCUUAAAAACAUAAAUUAUUAGUUGAUUUAUUUUGUUUUCAAUUCAUUAUCAAACAAGCCCUUAGUUAAUGUUCUCCAAGUUCAAGUGCCAUUUAUGUCAAAAAAAAGUUUAAGUAAUAGUAACAUAAACAUUCAUUUAAUUAUAACAAUAAAGUUAAAGCCAUGAAUAUUUUCAAAAAAAUUCAAUUAAGUCCUUGAAUGUUAAAAUUUCAAUCAAUUAAGCUCUUUGAUAGUUAAAGUUAACAGUUAAUUGUUGUAGUUAAAAUUUCAAUCAAUUAAGGCACGGUGUAGCGUUUGUUUACCUCAUCCUUUAACCAUGUGGUUGAGGGUUCAAUCCCCACGUAUGGGAAUAAAGCACAUUUCAUGCUCAAUUAUUUACCUAUUUGGAGAGCACUCAUAGUGAGGAGAUUAAACCUUGUUAUUGCUGGUGAAUACCCUAAUUAUGACAAAUAAAAAAUAACAACUACCAUUUUUUUUGGAUUAUUUUUGUCAAGUGGUGAAAAUUAUUUUAAUUUUUAUUAAAAAUCAUAUAAAAAGUAUAAAAAUUAUACAAGAAUUAUAAAAAUGCAUAAAUUAGAAAAAAUAUAUAUAAAAAAAUCUAUUGUGAAAACAUAAAAUUAUAGAAAUAUAAUUGCUCCCCCAAAUUCCAUGUUUCCUCUAACUCGUCUAACUGGAUUCUCCCUUAGAAUCAACUUAUUUGGAUUGUGAAAAUCUCCAUCCGAUAUUGAGCAAUUUGCACAAAUGUUGGUAACAUUUUAUAAAAUUAUUUUUUUUGUAAAAAAAAAAGUGAAAAGAAAAUCCAAUUAUAUGGAAUUGGUUUAUUCUCUAUGCAUGUGGAUCACCAUUUGAACAAGCAUAGACGACAAGGUGGACUCGUGAAAAGAAAACAUUUGUUGCAUCAUUGUUGUUUCCAUAUUCUCGCCUACCCAAAGCAGAAAUAAAGGGUGAAUUUGGCAUAUUAGCACCAUUUCUACCUCCUUUCUCCCUCUAUAUAAACCUCUUCCCACCCAAGCUGCCAUUGCCAAAACCCAUCAACUUCACCUCUAUUCUUCUUACUUGAGACCUAUAUUUAGUCUUGAAAUUUGACUCUGAAAAUGGGUUUCGCAUUUGCAUAUCGACUUAUCUUAGUCGUGGCAGUUGCUUCCGUGUUGGGAAUAAGCCUGGCAAAUAAAGACUGGGGCUCCCCUAAUUCCAACUACACUGGUUGGGGUUGGGGCUGGGGCUGGGGCUCCUCGAAGUCUAACCACACUGGUCAAGGCUUUAAUAACCAUCCCGUGAAUGAAACUCAAGGACCCAAAAAGAUAAUUGUUGGUGGAUCAGAAAACUGGCAUUUCGGCUUCAACUACUCCGAUUGGGCAUUCAACAAUGCACCCUUUUACUUCAACGAUACUCUAGGUGAGUCCAUAAUAUUACAUUUUACAAACCAAAGAAAUGGGAAGCUACCUUGUUUUUAUAUUUAUUUGCUGAAAUAAAUGAUGUUUUGAAUUGGUUUGCGUAGUGUUCAAGUACGAUCCACCAAGCAACACCACAUUCCCUCACAGCGUUUACUUGUUUCCCGACCGAUGGAGCUACUUGAAUUGCGACUUAAAGAGAGCGAAGAUGGUGGCAAAUGCAACCCAAGGCGGUGGCGAUGGGUUCGAGUUUGUGCUCAAGAGGUGGACACCCUAUUACUUUGCUUGUGGUGAACGUAAUGGCUUCCAUUGUAAGGUCGGCAGCAUGAGGUUCAUGGUGAUGCCACUCUUUCGUUGGCAUUACUAGAAUACUUGGGAGAUGAUCACAAAUUAAGGAAUAUCGACAUCCAAUAUAACAAAGAUAUUUAGACUUCGAUGACAAAAUUAAUGUGUAAUCGUUUCUUAAAAUGAUGAAUAAUUUAACUGUCAUCUUAUUAUUUAUUUUAUCAAUAAUUUCGUUACAGGUUUUUUUUUUUACACAAUGUUUAGAAUUAUCUAUAGUCUCUUUCUAACCUAUAAAUAGGAAAGUAAUGCGCUUUAACACACUCGAAUUCACAUCCUCCUGCAUUGACAACAAUAUCCAUGCCAAUUGAAUUAAAACUCAAUCGACUUCUUAAUUUAUUUCAAAAGAAAAAAAUACAUCUUUAAUUUGGACCUUUACUUAGUUAACUAAUUUAAAAGACAUUAAAUCUUCUUUAAUUCUACAGUGAUCUGUAAGUUUGAACAUCCAUUUGCCAUGUUAAUGUUAAGUGAUAUAUAUACGGGGCUUAUAGGGAUAGAAAGCCUUUAAGAAAGAAAAUUUUAUGCCCUUCAACUUAAUUCACACUCAAUUAAGUUGUUAUCCUUAAUUCACACUCAAUUAAGUUGUUAUCAUUAAUCCAAAAAAUUAAUUAAGUCCCUUAAUUGUUGAUUUUCAUCUUUGAUCCCGUUGAUGAUUAAAAUUAGCUAAUCGGAUGGCGGUAUUUACCUAAUUCAUAUUUAAUUUUUUAUUUUUCUAAUAAAAAUUAUUAAAAAUUAUAAAUACAAUGUCAAAUUUACCCUCAAUGUUUGCAUUUUUAUUAAUUUAGUCCUUAUUUUGUUUAAACUAAAUUUAAUCAUUAAUCUUUCAAAAAGAGUUAAAUCGCUCUUUUUUUAAUGAAGAUGUUGACUAAAACACUGAUUUUUUAAUGAUGGUGCGACAACCCGCGUUAUAUUUUGUACUUCAUAUUGACAUGACAUUAUUUGCCUUUUAUAUUACGUCAAUAAAUGAUUUAAAAUUUAUAAAAAUAUUAAACAAAACUCAAAAUUUAAGAAAUUAUAAAAAAAUCAUAAAAAAAAAUAAGAAAAAUAGUAUGAAAUACAUUUAGAUUGCCACGUAAGCUAUUAUGUUUAAAAUUUUAACAUUUUAAUUAGUAUUUUCAUUAUUUUUGUUAAAAAAAUAACAACUCCAUUCUUUUCGAAAAGUUGAUUAAAUUCGUUUUUUUUUAAAGGUGAAAUUUAACUUGCAAUUGGAGAAGGAGGAGUCGCUAUAUAAGCCAAGGUGAAGGUGCAACAAAGGGUAUUGGGUUCAUGCAAUGCAUUGGGUUAAAAAAAUGUUUUUUCCGAGUUUUUAUAAUUUUGUAUGAUUUUUCUUAUAAUUUUUUUUAUUUUUAUAAAAAAAAUAAAAGAUUAAAUCUGAAGUUACCAUUUAUCUAGGUUGAUUUUAAUAAUCAACAAAAUCAAUAACGGAAGAGUUAACAGUAAAAUUUGAAUGGUUGCAAGGGGCUUAAUUAUAUUUUUAAUUAUUUUUGGUUUAAGAGCUUUUUAGAGGGAUGAGUGGGAAUUUCUAUUUAUUCAAUCAAAGUAGAGUACAAACAUGGCAUAAUGAAGUCCCAAAGCAUUAGAAAGUGCAAGAUCGUGGAACCUAAAAGUUACUAUUCCUGGCUUAUAGUUGAAUGUUUUCGAAGCCAAAGUUUGAAAAUGAAAAUGACAAUCAACAGGUAAAGCUGUCAUUAUUACAUCACAUAAACGUAUGACUAACUAUGUCCUGUCAACCCCAGAUCAAAGUAUGGCACUUUUCACAUUUUGUUAUGGUAGUGGAGAAGACGUAACACAAUCCAAGAACUAAAACUGAACUGAAUGAUCAAAGGCAAUUUACAAAAUUCCCCACCUACCACCAUUAGCCAACGGCGGCACCUCGGCUCACCCACCAUCACAAUCAUAUGAUUUUUCACACUGCUUCUAAACUUUAACUGUUAAUGGAAACACAAGGAAAUGGUAAACACAGUUCAAUGCUCUCUGACCAAUAACUUUUAAAACCCAAGAAAAACCAACGCCAACCCAUAUAAUUCCCAAACCCAAGCAAAAUCAACAUUUAAAAUGGGUUUAGUUUCAGAAUCUUUUAAGGCAGUUUGGAGUUUGGUAUCAAUAUGAGAAAAAAAAAACAAAGAUUUAAGUAUCAAUGUGGAAAACAGGUAUAAUUUGAAGGCUAAAAUGAGAAUAAAGCCAAAUAUUUGCCAUAUCAUUGCUGUUUCCAUUUUCUCGCCUACCCAAAGCAGAAAAAAAGGUCAAUUUGGCACAUUUGCACCAUUUUCCACCUCCUUUCUCCCCUUUAUAUAAACCUCUUCCCCAACAUGCCAUUGCCAAAAACCAUCAACUUCAACUCCAUUUUCUUUUAGCUGAAUCUUAUAUUGAGUCUUGAAAUUUGACUCUGAAAAUGGGUUUCACGUUUGCAUAUCGACUUAUCCUAGUUGUGGCAACUGCUUCCGUGUUGGGAGUAAGCCUGGCUAAUAAGGACUGGGGCUCCCCUAACUCCAACUACACUGGCUGGGGUUGGGGUUGGGGCUCCUCUAAGUCUAACCACACUGGUCAAGGCUUUAAUAACCAUCCCUUGAAUGAAACUCAAGGAUCCAAAAAGAUCAUUGUUGGUGGAUCAGAAAACUGGCAUUUUGGCUUCAGCUACUCCAAUUGGGCAUUCAACAAUGCACCCUUUUACUUCAACGAUACUCUAGGUGAGUCCUUAAUAUUACAUUUUACAAACCAAAGAAAUGGGAAGCUACCUUGUUUUUAUAUUUAUUUGUUGAAAUAAAUGGUGUUUUGAAUUGGUUUGCAUACGUAGUGUUCAAGUACGAUCCACCAAGCAAUACCACAUUCCCUCACAGCGUUUACUUGUUUCCCGACCGAUGGAGCUACUUGAAUUGCGACUUAAAGAGAGCAAAGAUGGUGGCAAACACAACCGAAGGCGGUGGCGAUGGGUUCGAGUUUGUGCUGAAGAGGUGGACACCCUAUUACUUUGCUUGUGGUGAGCGUAAUGGCUUCCAUUGUAAGGUCGGCAGCAUGAGGUUCAUGGUGAUGCCACUCUUUCGUUGGCAUUACUAAAAUCUUGGAGAUUAUCUCAGAGAAAGAUCGACAUCCAACAUAACUCACAUAUAUAUAGAGUUUUAUUUCACUUUGUUGACAAAAUUAAUGUGUGAUUGUUUCUUAAUAUGGUUGAGAAGCUACUAGUUUGGUUUAUUUUAUGUUGUAAUGAUGCAAAAUAAGCCGUGUUAUAAUUGCACUUAAAGUUUAUAUUGAUGAACAAAUUAACCUUUCUUAAUUUGUUUCAAAGAAAGAAGUUUAAUGAGGGCAAUCUCUUUAAUUUUAUACUUUACUCAUUUAAAGUAUUAGAUACUUUUAAAUCUGCAAUAUUUAGAAAUUUGUUUAAUAUCAUAUAUUAUUAGAGUUAAUACAUUAAUAAUCAAAUAUUUAAGUUUUUAUAGGUGAAUGAAUCACAAGUAAAGUGACAAAAGAUCUGCAUUCAAAUAAUCAAUUAACACCAAUCUCGAGUUCAAUCUUGAACAACAUUAACCCUUACAGAAAAAGAUUUUGGAUACCAGCAUGGAAUUGAUCACUCAUUGACAUACAGGGGCAUAGCAAAAGGGGCGGGAGGGGCCUUGGCCCCCUUUGACUGGAUGGAUUAUUUGUUAUUUUAGUACUUUCUAAAUGUAAAUGGUUCAAUUUUUUAGCUUGUUUUAAAUAAAAGAAAUUUAAUUAUAGCCCUUUCAAAGUUUAAAAAAUACAAUUUAAAUCAUUUUAAUGCAAAUUUUUUAACUUUGACCCCAAUUUUUUUUUAGUUUUAUUUUUACUCCCAUCACAUAAUUCUUAGCCCCCAUUGGUAUGCUCAUGGAUAAAGGCAUACGACAGGGGCGAAGUUAGAAAAAUCUUUUAAAGGAGUAGAAAUUAAAUUGUAAUUUUUACGAUAGUAAAAAUGUAAUUUCACCAUUUUAAUAGCUUAUAUCUUUAUAAUUUUUAAAGAAUUAAAUCAAAUUUUUUUCAUUUAGAGAGAUUAAAAUAUAAUUUUAACUUUACUAAUUUAAAAAUUAUUUUUAGAAGUGAGGUACCCUUCCAUUAGCAUAUUAUACACUCCUUCGCAAAGAACUUGAUAGUGGCGAAGUUAAAGUGUUAAGGGUGUAGAAAAAGGCCUUGUCUGUUUUGAUUAAAUGAAAAAGAAUUUCCUUUAAAUCCUCUCAAAAUAGAAAUCAUUUAACUUAAUCCUUUUAGCUCUUGAAUGAAAUAAAAUAUUACAAAUUAGAGACUAGGCUACGGUUUAUUGAGGAAAAAGAGAAAGACAAUCAAUCGAGUUACCUCCUAUGACCAAGUUACCUCCGCUCCAAACGAGUUGAAUUCGACUCCAUAACAGACGGGGGACGUCUGAUUUCACCAAUCACUAUAGAACCUUCCAGAAUAUAAAGACUGACGGUUCUUUUACCUUUUAACAAAACGAGAGCUCCACGAGAUACUUUAAUGUCGGUCGACUCGAUGUUGAUUCUGCAUCCUUUCAAGUCUGAAAAACUCAAAGAGAUGAGAUUCUUUCGUAAAUUAGGUACAUACCUGACAUCUGAGAGUGUCCUAAUCAUCCCGUCGUGUAUCAUAAUUUUAACAGUACCAAUACCAAUUACCUUACUAGAUGAAUCGUUUCUUAUGCGCACAACUCCACCUUUAACCGAACUGUAUGUGGAGAACCAUUCUCUAUUGGGACACAUGUGGAAAGAACAUCUCGAAUCUAGGAUCCACUCGGACGUGAGCUUGGAGUUAUCGCUCAUUGACACUAAUAAGAAAUCAUCACUGCUUUCAUCGGCCAAAUUAGCACUAGCUACAUCUUCCUCGUUACUCUCAGCAGGUCUUUUAUUUUACAGUUUAUAACAAUUUGCUUUAACGUGACCUAACUUUUUACAAUAGCGACACCUUUUGUCUCGUUUCUUUGAUGCUAUCAAAAUGGAAGCUUGCCUAUCUGCCUUACUAUCCAAACCAAACUCAUUGUCGAGUUUGUCUCUACUCAACAAAUGACCCUUCACAUAUUGGAACGAGAGUUUGUCUCUGCCAUAAAUCAAGAUCUCCCUCAAAGACUUGUAUGAAUGAGUAAAGAGCACAAUAAUAGCAUAGUCUGAUCUUCAUCGUCAAUAUGAACCUCAAUGUUCUUUAAAUCAUUUAAAAGAGUAAUGAAUUGACUGAUGUGAUCUCUAAGAAGUUCACCUUCGUUCAUGCGAAACGUAAAUAGACGUUGUUUCAACACUAAACGGUUAGCCAGAGACUUAGUCGCAUAAAGAGUUUCUAACCUUUUCCACAAGGCAGAUGAGGUCUUCUCCAUCAACACAUCUUGCAAUACCGUAUUUGUGAGGCACAACUGGAUUGCAGAUAAGGCCUUUUCAUCAAGCUCUUCCCAUUCUGUUUGAUUUAGAUUCUCAGGCUUUUUUCCGAUAACAACCUUUUUCAAGCCGGUUUGAACUAGAAUUGCCAUCAUCCGAACUUGCCACAGAUUGAAAUUUGUCUCACCAUCGAACUUUUCAAUUUCAAACCUUAUUGCUACCAUCUCUGAAUGAGCUGAUUUAUGAAAAUUAAAUUAGCUCUGAUAUCACUUGUUAGGAUCGAUCCGAUUAAGUAACAAGUAAAAAAAUAACGGAAUAAAUUGAGAAAUUGAACACACAAAUUUAACGUGAAAAAACCUCUCCAAAAGGAUAAAAAAAUCACGGGCAAAGAUAAUUUUAUUAUAAUGGCAAAAGAACAAAAAGUACAAAAGAUGAAGAUAAAAACUAAACUCCAAAAACCCAAAAACAAAGAACCCUUAAAACGUAAAUACAAAAUUCUCUAAAUAUAUUAUGAGUUCUAAUCUCUAAUGGGUGUAUUUUUUAAGGUUGUAAAAGAGCCUAUUUAUAAGCUAAAUUAAUAGGUCAAAUAAUAAUAAAAUAAUCUCGCCUAAUUAGAGUUUGAUUGAAACAAAUAAACAGAGUUUAACUGAAAGAUUAUUUCUCAAAUUUGACUGAAAUAGGAGUCAUACUCAACACUAAGAAACUGGCCCAUUAUGCCUUUCUUGGGCAGAGCUUAAAAGUAAAUCAUCGCCACCUUCUACUCUAAUUAUUGUAGUGGAACAUUUACAAACUUAUACUUUUUUGCAGAAUAUGAUUCCAGCAGUAGUUGCUAGCAUUGAAACCAUGCUUGAGAAAUGGAAAAGUAAGGACGGCAAAAAGAUAGAAGUGUUCCAAGAGUUCAGAUUAUUGACUUCAGAAGUGAUAUCCAGAACCGCCUUUGGUAGCAGUUACUUGGAAGGGGAGAAGAUUAUUGACAUGUUGAUGAAGUUGACAGUAAUUGCAGGCAGAAAUAUUUAUAAAGCAGAGAUUCCCAUCAUCAGGUAACGUCAUCAAAUCUUUACUUUGCUAAUCAACAUACUUCAGCCGCCAAUGGGUUGAUUUAAUCUGGUUUUCCUUUUCAGCAAGUUUUGGAAAUCUGCUGAUGAAAUUGAAUCAGAUAAAAUUGCCAAAAUGAUACAUGAUUCUGUUAUAAAGAUUGUUAAAAAAAGGGAAGACAAAGUAGUCACUGGAGAAGCUGAUAACAUCGGUCGUGAUUUUCUGGGAUUACUUGUAAAUGCUUAUCAUGAGGCGGACCAGAAAAAUAGGCUUUCGAUACAAGAUUUGGUAGAUGAGUGUAAAACUUUCUAUUUUGCUGGGCAAGAAACAGUCAAUUCCUUGCUUGCAUGGGCAACCCUGCUUUUAGCAAUACACACCGAUUGGCAAGAUAAAGCAAGAGCAGAGGUGAUUGAGGUCUUUGAUAAUCAAAACCCAGAUUCUGAAGGGAUGGCCAAAUUAAAGACGGUAAGCAAACUAUACAAAUUCAAUAGCUUGAAAACUAACAGUGAACAUUUAUAUUGCCUUUUGGAUUUCUUUUUCUCCAACAGAUUACCAUGAUUAUCAAUGAAACUUUACGGCUCUAUCCUCCUAUAAGUGGCGUGAUAAGAAAAGUAGGAAGAGAAGUCCGAUCAGGAACACUUGUCCUGCCUAUUCAUUCAGAGGUCGACAUGCGAAUCAUAGCACUUCACCAUGAUCCUGACUUAUGGGGAGAUGAUGUUGAUCUUUUCAAACCAGAGAGGUUUGCUGACGGCUGAAACUACUAAGUACAAUGCAGCUGCAUUUAUGCCCUUCGGAUUGGGACCUCGAUCUUGCGUAGGCAUGAGCUUUACAAUCAUUCAAGCGAAAAUUGCACUUUCCAUGAUUCUGCAACGCUACACUAUCAAUCUCUCCCCUAGCUAUGUUCAUGCACCUUUACAACGUCUUACACUCAGGCCACAACAUGGGAUUCAGGCCACAACUUUUUUUUUGUUUUAAAAUAUAAUUUCUUUCCUAACGAUAUAAUUUGUUUAUCUAAAAGUGUUUUAGCUAUAAUAAAAUUUGUUACAAUAUCUUUAACACAAUGGUAAUAGUUACAAAUACUAUUACGCAACCAUAGUAUAUUGGUUGCAAAAUAAAAUUUGCAACAAUGUAAAAUUAAAUUUGCUAAGUUUUUUACGUAACAAUAAUAAUAUUGAUUACUAAAUAUUAUUUUGUAAGGAUAUUUUAUUUAGUUGUGUAUUACAUUGUGCAAUGAUUAUAUUUCAUUGUCAAAAAAAUAUUUUAACAACCAUUAAACGUGGUUAUCAAAUCAUUUACGUAACAAUAAUACUAUUUGUUGCUGAAUAUUAUUUUGCAAUAAUGUUUUAAUUGGUUGUGUACUAAUUACGCAACAACUAUAAAAAUUUAUAAAUUGAGUUCGGUUGUUAAAAUAGGAUUCGUUAACUCGACUAAUUCAAAUUUUUUUUACUCGAUCGAAUAUUCACCACUAUUUCUAAACUAUAAUAAUGGAAACUCGUUAAGUCAUAAAAAAUUCAAGUAAAUGUUUUAAACUUGAGUUUUAUGAAUACAAAAAAUAAUUUUAAAAGCUAUUUUAAAUUAUAAAAUUUAUUUGGUAUAAAUUAAAAUUAAAUACAAAAUAUAAUUAGAUUGUUUGAUAAAAUAUAAUAUUUUAAAAAUUUAAAGGUGGGGUAUUUGAAGAAUUUAAAAGAGAUAAAAUAAAAAUAAUUGAAACAAAUUCUACAUUAAGAUAUAAAUAGUUAUUUAUCUACUUUUCAGUUUCCAUAUCUUUUCGUAGAAAAAUCCAAUCAUUUGUUUUUUAUUAUGAAUCAUCAAACUUGCUUAAAAACAUAAAUUAUUAGUUGAUUUAAUUUUUUUUAAUUGAUUAUCAAACAAGCCCUUGAUUCAAGUGCCAUUUAUGUCAAAAAAGUUUUAAGUAAUAGUAACAUAAACAUUCAUUUUAUAACAAUAAAGUUAAAGCCACGAAUAUUUUCAAAAAAAUUCAAUUAAGCCCUUGAAUGUUAAAAUUUCAAUCAAUUAAGCUCUUUGAUAGUUAAAGUUAACAGUUAAUUGUUAUAGUUAAAAUUUCAAUCAAUUAAGGCACGGUGUAGCGUUUGUUUACCUCAUCCUUUAACCUUGUGGUUGAGGGUUCGGUCCCUACUUAUGGAAAUGAAGCACAUUUCAUAGUCAGUCAUUUACCUAUUUGGAGAGCACUUAUAGUGAGGAGAUUAACUACUGUUGUUGUUGGUGGAUACCCUGAUUAUGACAAAUAAAAAAUAACAACUGUCUUUUUUUUUGGAUUAUUUUUGCCAAGUGCCAUGCUAAGAUUGUGCCACGUGGUAUGAAAUUAGAAAAAUCAUAUAAAAAUUAUAAAAGAAUUAUAAAAAUGAAUAAAAUUAGAAAAAAAUAUAUAAAAAAUCUAUUUUUAAAAGGUUAAUAAAUUUUAUAUUUUAUUAUUUUUAAAAGGAUAAUAAAUUUUUAAAAGGUUUUUUUUAUUCUUAUAUUUUUAAGGGCGAUUUAAAUUUAAUUUCAAAAUAGGGCAUGCCUAAUAUAUAAAUAGACAUUUAAUUGGUGUCCAAGAGGAAUGGCGUCACUCCUAUUUUUCAUCUAGUUUAAAAAUAAUAAUUACUUCAUCAGGUAUCUGAACAUUUUAUAUAAUUUUUUUUCAGUUCGAUGUCACCAAUAACAACGACGACACCCAAAAUAUAUAUUUUUUAAAACUACCAAUGACAAUGAGUCACCGACAUUUACUGUUUAAAAUGAGUUUCAAAAUAAGUCAUUUUUAUAAAUAAUUAAAAGUUUUGGGUAUUUUUAAUAAAAAAGCCUAAGUUUGAUGAAUGGCGUCAGCCAUUAUGUAGGUCUACUUAAUACGAAAACGACGGCUUGGUUUUGUUGGCCAAAAGGAAAGUACCUUUUGGGUUUUGCUUUGCCCAAAUGCUAGCAAAGUCUUUGCAUGCAUUUGUUUGAUUGGAAAAGUGAGAAAUAGAUGAACAUGGUAAGCACAAAUUCUAGACAUUACCAUAUCACCUAUAAAAUUUAGUUAUCUUUUUAAUUUCUUUUGGUGUAUUAUAAAAAAAAAUUCUAAUAACACGACUUGAAUCAAAUCAUAUCUUAGUCAAGAGAUGGGGUUAUUUUAAUUUUUGUCUAUAAAAAGAAUCUUGUUCAUUGAGGGCCCUAGUAGGAGGUAUUGAAUAAGAACUAGAAGUCAAAUCCUGCACGCUUCCCAUUUCUGUGUAUUGAAUUGGCUGUAAUUUUCAAAGGACAUGAACCUUGAAGAGGGACAAGUGUAGUCUCUUGAUGAUAAAUGUGUUGACUGUCACCUUGCAAAACCCAGAUUACCAUAACAGGUGCAAAAUCUGAUCGGUGAAGAUAAGAAAAUGGAGACCAUGGGAAAUCUUCUAAUCCUGUUUACAGCUUCUUUAUGCCUCUACCUUUUCGUUGCUUUGCUCAAUGUUUUCUACAAGUAUUGCUGGAUACCUCAACGGGUACAGUUCAUCAUGAAUUCACAAGGAAUCAGAGGACCUCCUUAUGAAUUUAUCCAUGGAAACAACAAAGAAGCUGCCCAAAUGCUCAUGGAAGCAUCUACCAAACCUAUGGCCUUGACACACGAUAUAUUUCCCAGAGUCAUGCCUCAUGUUUACUCCUGGAUCAACAAAUACGGUGAGAAUAUGUUUUUUUUUCCUUUCUUGGGUAGUAUUUUCUGAUUAACCUCCACUUUCCAUGAAGAGAAAUCAUUUUCUUUCAGGGAAGACUUAUCUUAGUUGGAAUGGAAUUCGAGCUCAACUGCUAAUUACAGACCCAGAUCUAGUCAAAGAGGUCCUUAAAAACAGUGACAAAGCUUUUCGAAAGCCAAAGGCUUCAUAUUUCUUCGACAAGCUACUAGGCGAUGGGCUUGCUUCAACCGAACGUGAGAAAUGGGCAAGGCAAAGGAAACUGGCCAAUUAUGCCUUUCAUGGGGAGAGCUUAAAAGUAAAUCAUCUCUACCUUCUAAUCUAAUUAUUGUAGUGCGACAUUUACAAACUUGAUAAUUUCUUGCAGAAUAUGACUCCAGCAGUAGUUGCUAGCGUUGAAACCAUGCUUGAGAAAUGGAAAAGUAAGGAGGGCAAAGAGAUAGAAGUGUUCCAAGAGUUCAGAUUAUUGACUUCAGAAGUGAUAUCCAGAACCGCCUUUGGUAGCAGUUACUUGGAAGGGGAGAAGAUUUUUGACAUGCUGAUGAAGUUGUCAGUAAUUGCAGGCAGAAAUAUUUUUAAAGCAAAGAUUCCCAUCAUCAGGUAACUUCAUCAAAUCUUUACUUUGUUAAUCAACAUACUUCAGCUUACAAUGGGUUGAUUUAAUCUGGUUGUCCUUUUCAGCAAGUUUUGGAAACCUGCUGAUGAAAUUGAAUCAGAAAGAAUUGCCAAAAUGAUACAUGAUUCUGUGAUGAGGAUUGUUAAAAAAAGGGAAGAGAGAGUAGUGAACGGAGAAGCUGAUAACUUUGGUCGUGAUUUUCUGGGAUUACUUGUAAAUGCUUAUCAUGAGGCGGACCAGAAAAACAAGCUUUCGAUUCAAGAUAUGGUAGAUGAGUGUAAAACUUUUUAUUUUGCUGGGCAAGAAACAGUCAAUUCCUUGCUUGCAUGGGCAACUCUGCUUUUAGCAAUACACACCGAUUGGCAAGACAAAGCAAGAGCAGAGGUGAUUGAGGUCUUUGGUAAUCAAAACCCAGAUUCUGAAGGGAUGGCUAAAUUAAAGACGGUAAGCAAACUAUACAAAUUCAAUAGCUUGAAAACUAGCACUGACCAUUUAUAUUGCCUUUUGGAUUUUUUUUUUCUCCAACAGAUUACCAUGAUUAUCAAUGAAACUUUACGGCUCUAUCCUCCUAUAAGUGGCGUGACAAGAGAAGUAGGAAGAGAAGUCCAAUUAGGAAAACUUGUCCUGCCUACUCAUUCAGAGGUCGACAUGCGAAUCAUAGCACUUCACCAUGACCCUGACUUAUGGGGAGAUGAUGUUAAUCUUUUCAAACCAGAGAGGUUUGCUGAUGGGAUAGCGAAAGCUACUAAGUACAAUGCAGCUGCAUUUAUGCCUUUUGGAUUGGGAUCUCGAUCUUGCGUUGGCAUGAGCUUUGCAAUCACCGAAGCGAAAACUGCACUUUCCAUGAUUCUGCAACGCUACACUGUCACCGUCUCCCCUACCUAUGUUCACGCUCCUGUACCACGUCUUACACUCAAGCCACAACAUGGGAUGCAGUUGUUGUUUCAUUCACUACAUUAUGAUGCUUAAAAUUCUAGGUUGUUGGUCUCCAAUAUAGUAAU